Molecule: long non-coding RNA, 46386 nt
Filed under: Prunus persica (peach)
Lineage: Eukaryota; Viridiplantae; Streptophyta; Magnoliopsida; Rosales; Rosaceae
Description: long non-coding RNA (PPER_LNC003772)
Source: RNAcentral
AUGAAGAAGGACCACCAUCCAAACCUGGCCCUGUUCCCGUUGAACUUGAAGCAACAUCCCAAGGCUCAAUUGGGUCAGUCCUAACAUAUUCAACCUCUUCAUAGUUUUGUCCACCAUUAGAAGUUUUUUCUGACAUUUGAAUCCCCUCCAGCUCUGCCGUGACCUCUCUCAUUGUAGGGCGCUUUCUUCCACUCAAAUUCAAACAUCUUCUUGCAAGGUUAGCAACUAAUAUGAUAUCUGCUUUAGACCCUCCUUUUACAACUUCAGCAUCAAGAAUUUCGAACAGGCGAUCUAACUGCAUCGAAGUAAUGAAGUAUGUGGCAAGACUUUUGCCUUCUUCUUGUGACCUUCUAAAAGAAAUUGGUUUUUGCCCUGUCAAGAGCUCAACAAGGACAACUCCAAAGCUAUACACGUCACUUUUCUCCGUAAAUUGGCUUGAUUGAAAGUAUUCGGGGUCCAAGUAACCAAAUGUGCCGUGUACAAGUGUGGUGAGGUGAGUUUGGUCAAUGGCAACUGAUCUUGAAGUUCCGAAGUCAGCAAUUUUUGCUCUGUAUUUUGCAUCCAAGAGUAUGUUGGUAGACUUGAUGUCUCUGUGAUAAAUGGGAAAGGCAGCUGAAACAUGUAAGUAGGAAAGAGCUCCUGCAACUUCCAUGGCAAUUCGUAAGCGAACUUCCCAUGUAAGUGGAAACUCCUCAUUCUGCUCAUGGAUAUACUGGGAAAGGUUUCCGUUAGGUAUAAAUUCAUAAACUAAAAUGGGAACCUCCGUCUCCAAACAACAACCCAAUAGUUGAACGACAUUUCUGUGGUUGAUUUGUGAAAGAAUGACAACCUCAUUGAUGAAAUCUGAAAGUUGGCUUUCAUCCACUAUUUUAGAUUUUUUCACAGCAACAAUUCUUCCAUCAGUCAGCAUGCCUUUGUAAACGGUACCUUGGCCUCCCUGGCCAAGAAUUCUAUCAGUAUUGAAAUUGUCAGUGGACUUCUCCAACUCCUUCGAUUUGAAUAGCUUGAUUUUCUCAACAUUAACUUCACCAGACGACAAUUGUUUCUCUAAUAAUAAUCCACCAUUUCGCUUGAAGAACAUCUCCCUGCGUUUCAUGGUAUGGCGUUUCUUUAGGAAUCUGUAUCCCCACCAUGCACCGAUAAGCAAAAGUAACAGUCCAAGACCCGCACCAAGACCUGCAAUAUAUAACUCAGUAAAAUGAUAAAUGAUCACAAAUCGCAAACCAAGUUUAUGUCUUGUGCCCAUAAAAUAAAAUAAAAUAAACUGUUGAUGGCAAUAUACAAAAGAGUUUUAUGUCUAAAAUUCCUCUUGACACUUAGGCCUUGGUCUUUAUUUUCUUAGUCAAGAACUUUGGGCUCUGUGAUAUUUGUAAAGUUAUAAAAUUUAUUUGGGUUCUAGGAUUGUCCUUUUUGGAUAUCCGAUUUACUCCAUAAAAGAAAAAACUGCAGAGACCUCUAAUAUAGUGAACAGUGAAGAAUGACCAAUCUAGCUCUCCCCGUAACUUUAUUUAUGAAAUAUCCUUCUUCUUUUUUUAUAGAAAAAGCAGCAGUAUUUUAUUAGGAUGAUAUAUUGCGUACCUAUAAUAACGAUCAAUUUAGUUUUCUUUUUGUCAUGGCAAAGAAAGGAACCAGGAAUGUUCACACAGUGGCUGUGCGGCCCGCACCGAUCAUGACCAAUUAUGCAUUCAUCAAUAUCUGAAACAUAAUUUAGAAAGAAAAAAAAAACAGAAAAGGUAAAUUAGCAAUACAAUAAGAAUACUAUUUGCACAAUAUCUUAUCACUAUGCAGAUCACCCUCUCUAAUACGGUUUGGACCCCAUAAAUGUAUGAGAGACUCAUUAAUAUUAAAGAAAUAGUAAGAAUACAAAUAACAUUUGUGGUACAAAUAACAACAAUCUUAACAAUAAGUAUUAUUAGGUGACCAAAAGUAUGUAGAAGGAAGGGUCUUAUUUUGACUUGCAUGACUUUUAUGUCUUGAAAAAAGUUCUUUGGCUGAAUAAAAAGGGAGUUCUUUCCCUUCCUUUCCAAUAUUGCUUGCAUAAAUCAAACGCAAAGAAAAAUAAAAUGCAGAAACGGAAGCUAGAUAUAAUUAAUUACAUACGUACCUUGACAAGUUUGAAGAAGAUAGGGAUUUCCUACAAAGCCUUCUCGGCAGAAACAAUAAAGCGCUGAGCGAUUGUUGGAAUCAAAAGUGUAGAUAUUGCAGAAGGGUACAUCGCUAUAACUAUAAUAAUUAUAAAAAUAAGAAUCCAAAUUCUCUGUAACGUGGCUUCCAAAUAAUGCGAAUGAAGAAGUAGAGUUGAUUAUAUUCCAUUCUAGCACCACAGGAACGUGACUUCUUCUCUUGACUGCAUGAGCAGAAGAUCUAUCAAACCAAUCCUUGUCAACCAGAAACGCAUAGUUGUCGCAAUCCGCGUUUCGAUUUUCGCCUUUGUAUAGAAUGGAAAGGCUCAUCAUAGUGAGAUAUGGAGGAAUGGUAGUCUGACAACAGUUGAUACCAAUAUCACAGUAAGCAGAGCUUUGAUUAUAACAAACUGACCUGCAGCCACCCACCACAAAAUCAGCUGAUUCCAUCGUGGCAAGGAAGCCGCAACUAACCGCAGUGAAUCUGUUUUUGUCCUGAGAGUAGACGAAAGGGCUGUCCGUCAAAUUAGCCAUUUUGCUACUUCCAUUUCCGUUGCAAAAAAAGGUAACGGGGCUGUUCACUUCAAGCGUGCCCAACAUAGCCUCAAGCGUGCCUCCAAUAGAAAUAUUCAGCACCUCCAGUUGGGCUCGCUUCAAAAAAGGCUUAGAAGACUGGUUGCUGCACUCGAUUUCAAACCAGUCGUCUAAGUAGCAAUCUGUGCCUCCAAUUCCAAAAGGGUAGGGGAUCAAGACGCCUCCGCAUUUCUCUUUGCAGCCCGGCUUCGCUUUCGGAUAAUAAACUUCUUGUGCUGCAGCUGCUGCACAUGUAUGUAUGAUCAACAACACGAGGAAUAUUAAUAAUAAAAUCAUCAUAUGAAGUGCUUGCGAUUGCAUUGUUCCUAUGCUCGGAUAAUAAAAAGUAAAAGAUUAUCAACCAAAAGUUUUCUUUGCCACAUAGUGCUUGUACUAUAUAUAAUAUUAAAAGACCCCUUGUCAAUCGAAGAAAAGUGGGUUCGAAUUGAAGGCUACUUUUCUUUUUGUAAUGCGAGUGGAAAUUGUAUAUGACUAGUAGUUGAGAAUAUUCUAGUGUUUCCUUCUCUUCCUAGCUAUCCACCAAAAAAAAAAAAAAGUUGACUUGACUUGAGUCAUUCACAAAAGGAAAUGAAUUAUUGUGGCCAUAACGAAAUUAAAAAUAAAGUAUUCUUAUUUUGUCUUUUUCAAGUACAUAAAAAUGCUGUGAAAUCAAGUCAAUGAUUACAUAGAGCUCGGCAAACGUAACAUUAACUAACUAAACAAUAAUAUUUUGAAAGGUCAUGCAACACAAGAGAAACAGAGUUUUAUUUGGUUUUAUUUUCACAAGCGAAGCCAGAAAAUUGGUUCCACAAGGUGAUAGUCUAAAAUCUUCUAACGUCUUGUCUAAAGAUUUUCUCGAGUGAUUUAGUCAUAAUUAAUUUUUAUAUAUCGGAUGAUUUAUGUUUAAAUGGCAAUCAUUCUGUUUCGCUAAUUAGCCACUAUGAUCUUCUUGAUUGAAACUACUGUCACAUUCUGAUCGGAAAAGUUGACUUGAGAUAUGGAACAUGCAUUACAAUAUUACAAUUAAGAAAUUUUUAAUUAUUGUUCAGCGUGACAUGAAAGGUAAUAGUGGAACUGCAUUUAAAGUUUUUUCUAACAUUUGAAACCUCUCCGGCUCUGCAGGUGAUCUCUCUCAUUCUGAAAUUGGUACUUAGGUAACAAGGGGUAAAUUUAAAAUAUAUUCAACUAAGAACACAACAAACUUCACACACUCUAGACCUUGACCAAAUACUCUUAUGACUAGUCAACUAUCAGAUAUGAAUUAUACCAAACAAUAACAUACACAGAGCAUACCAAGAUGUACCUGCAAGCCUAGAGAAUUACUAGUGACAACCUAGGCACUCAAAAGGACCGGUCAGUCUAGGCAUCCCCUGUGCUAGCAACAACUAUGGUGAAAGUGUGUGAAGACAGCAUAAUCAAGCAACCACCAAACAACAAAAAAUGAUGACUAGUUAACCGCAAAACACAAACCUAGAAAACACAUGAACAUCAUGCGAUGACUAGUCAACUAUAAAGAACACAAACCCAGAAAAUUUAUAGGGAUGGAAACUAGAAAUUGUUCACCCAGAAACCCAUCAUUGGGAAAAACUGGGGGUCAUCAAUCGACUAGGCAAUCCACUAAGCAAAAAGAUUCAUACAAAGGAACACUAGCAAGCUCAAGAAAUUCCUAGGUCUAUUUAGGAAGAUGAGCUUUACCUCCUUUGUGCAAUCUUCUUCGCUAACUUAGCAAAACUUGAAGCUCAGUUCUUCAUGGCAAUGACAACUCCUUAUCCAACUCUUUCAUCUCAUAGCACUAGCUUGCAAGCUCUAACUCAGACAGAAACCAAACAUUGGAUCUAAAGGAAGAAUGAUCAUUUUCUUCAAGAAACCAUACUCUUAAAGAAAUCAAUCUUGAAUCUGACCUAGAUAUAUAUGAGAGAGUGUUUGAUCUAGCAAAAUGAGGUUUUCAUAUUUCAAAUGCAGUUUUCAAAAGGAAACAUUUUGAAAAACUCAAAGAUGAAAAAUAUGAAGGUUACACUUGAGGAAGAAGAGAAAGUUUGUAAAGAAACUUUCCAAAACUUGCCUACAAAAGUGACGGCUGCCAAAUGAGGAAUGCAUGUGUUUUUACCCAAAAAUUCCUAGGUUAGAAUCGUACAAGGCAGUAGAGGAUUUCGCAGAAUAUGACAAAACAAUAGGUAGGAUGCAAUUGAAAACAGUGACCUGGAAAACCUUACUAACGCAAAGGUUGACUAGUCAUAUGGAAGAAGGAUGACUAGUCAUAUGGAGGAUGACUAGUCAUACGGAGAAAGGAUGACUAGUCAUAAUCUUCAGGAAUAGGUUAAUGCAAUGUAAUGCAAUGCAAAACUUACCUUUGUCAAAUACAAUGUUGUCCAUCAUAAUGUAACCAGAUAAGAACACCUAGAGAUGAAAUUCUUAAUCUAAACUUGAAUUGAAACACCUAGAGAUAAGAACACAUUGUAGUACGCUUCAUUCCACUCAAAUUCAAACACCUCCUUGCAAGGUUAGCAACUGUGAUGAUAUCUAGUUUAGACCAUGUGGGAACAUAAAGUUUGGCAUCCAAUCACAAGGUGAAAUGUGGAUAGUGGAAUAUUCCUUAUUUCAAAUAAUUUAGCUAAUUAAAUCUGAUUUAAUUAGCCAAUUAUCCUGAUUUAAUUAGCCAAUUUUUCUUGAUUUACGAUAGGAAUAUCUCCUCCAAAUCAAGGAUCCGAUUUCCAACAAAUCUCCUUUAUAUUAUCUUAUUAUUUAAGGAAAAGAAUAAUUCUCUUCCAUAUAUUGAUAGAGGGAGCUUCGGUUGAGGGUUCUCUCAAUUAGGCUAAUUUGAGGGACACUCUUAUAGGAUCCGCUCCGUAUUUUAUUUCAUUAAUCCAAACCAUCUAUUUUGUAGAUAUUCAUUCAAAUAUCAUCUCUAUAAAAAAAUCAUUUGAAUUCGAUAUCAUUUGACCACUUAAUUGAAUUAUUGAAAUUUUAGUACUUUCUUGAAGCACCGUAUUCAUUGAUUUUGUAUGAUACAAUUGGAUGUCGAAACGGUUUCCGAAUUGUCUAAUUUUUUGCAAAGAUGAUUUAUGAAUGUAGACUUAAAAAUAGAUAGUUUGGAACGUUGAAACAAAAAUUGUAGUGGAUCCCUCAAUAAAAAGGAACAUAUAUAUAUAUAUAUAUGUCAAAGCAUAAUUUACCACAUAUGUCAAACUGUAAUUUGCAGAGGAGUAUGUCCUUUUUGGAAAAUAGGCAAACAAUAUCCAUAUGUGAUUGAAUUCGUGUGAAAAGUCUCCCUACUCGACUAAGUUUUCUUUGCAACUUACUUAGUGCGUGUACUGUAUAAUGAAGACCCCCUUUGUCCAUCGAAGAAAAGGAACAAACACUAGUGGUGGGUUGGAAUGGAAAUUGUAUAUGACUGGUAGUUGAAAAUCCAAGUGUUUCCUUCUCAUUAUUUCUAGCUACCCCAAAUUUUUAAAAAAAAGAAAAAAAAAAAACAAAAGUUGACUAGCUACUUGAUUUGAGUGACUCAUGCAGUGCAUGCUCGGUUAAUUAUUGUGGCCAUAACAAGACGAAUCACCAUGUGUUGAGUUGACUUGAGAGGUCAUUGUCCAAAAAUAAAUUGAAAUUGAAAAGUAUUAUUUAAUUAUUAAUUUUUCUUCUGUCUUUUUUGUUUGUUUGUUUUUUUUUUUGGGUUUCAAGUACACACAACUCCUUUAGACGUAUCAAGAGAGGAAAACUCUCUUAACUAAGCAAUCCAAAAUAUCAGAAAAAUAUCUCUGAGAACCAAGUCUGAGUUUUAGACCUCUGAGUUCAGACAAAAAAAAAAGGACCUCUGAUCUUGCAUAAAAUCCAACACAAGAAACAGAGCUAGAAAAUUUCCUUACAGAUAAGGUGAUAGUCUAAAAGAUGAUUCCAAGUCCAAAAACCGAGAAUAUAUAAUUACAACAAAUAUAUUGUUCACUGUGUAUUGAAAAACAAUAGUGGUUGUACAUCGAAUGAAGAACCUGUACCGCCAUCCGUACAAGGACCUGUUGAUGAAGAAACAACAUCCCAAACCUCAUUUAUUUCCUGAGUUUGGACACAUCGGACCUCUGGGAAAACUUGUUGAACAUCAGUCUCAGCUCUAACUGACAAUUGAAUUCCCUCCAACUCCACUGCUACUUCUUUCAUAGUAGGACGAUUCCUUCCAUUCAAAUUCAAGCAUCUAACAGCAAGGUUAGCAACUGCUGUAAUCUUUUCCUUUCUACCAUCCUUCAUAACUUGAGAAUCAAGAAUAUCAAAUAGAAGAUUAUUCUCCAUGGAAAGCAGGAAAUAAGUUGCUAGACUUCUGCUUUCUUGUGACCUCAUCAAAGAAACUGGUUUUUGUCCAGUCAAGAGCUCAGCAAGGACCACGCCAAAGCUAUAAACGUCACUCUUCUCUGUAAACUGGCUUGAUUGGAAGUACUCCGGGUCCAGAUAACCAAACGUUCCAUGUACUAGUGUAGUAAGGUGCGUUUGAUCAAUGGAAACUGAUCUUGAAGUCCCAAAGUCAGCUACUUUUGCUCUGUACUUUUCAUCCAAGAGUAUAUUAGAAGACUUGAUGUCUCGGUGGUAAAUGGGAAAGGAAGCAGCUGAGUGUAAGUAGGAAAGAGCUCCUGCGACUUCAAUGGCAAUUCGUAAGCGCAUUUCCCAUGUAAGACAAAACUCCUCAUUUGGGUGAUGAAUAUACUGAGAAAGCGUUCCAUUGAGUAUGAAUUCAUAAACCAAAAGGGGGACUUCAGUCUCUAAACAACAACCCAAUAGUUUAACAACAUUUCUGUGAAUAAUUUGUGAAAGAAUGACAAUUUCAUUAAUAAAUUGUCCGACUUCUCCUCCAUCAACUAUUUUUGACUUCUUGACAGCAACAAUUCUUCCAUCUGACAGCAUUCCCUUGUAAACAGUACCUUGACCUCCUUGACCAAGAAUUCUAUCUAUACUGAACUUGUCUGUGGCUUUGUCUAAAUCCUUUGAACUGAACAACUUAAUUUUCUCAACAUUAACUUCACCAGAAGAUAAUUGCUUCUCCAACAAUAAACCUCCAUUUUGUUUAAAAAACUUUUGCUUGCGUUUGAUAUCCUUCCUCUUCUUUAUAACUUUGUGCGACCACCAAGCUCCAAUGAGUAGAAACAAGAGUCCAAUCACACCGCCAGCAACUGAGUACUCAAUAAGAUACAAAUAUUGAUAACGUGAUCAAGAAGAUUUUUUUUUUUUUUUUUUUGUGUGACAAAUAUGUCUAUAAUUUCAAAUUUUCCACCAAAGGGCCCAAAGUUUAAUUUAUUAAAGUGCAUUGGCAUACCUAAAAUGCCCACGUUAAUCCGUAGUAUUUGUCGAUCCGGCUGGUAGCAUACAAAGUGCCCUGGAAGAUUGAUACAAGUGCCCGGACCACAUCUAUAUUGGUUGUCACAUUCGUUGAUAUCUGGAAUAUAUAAUGACAAGUGGAAAAUGGGGGAAAAAAUAGAAGAAAGAAGGGAUGGUUAAUUAUAAAUGGUAUCUACAAAAUCAAUCAAGGAAAUCCAAAUGAAUAUCCAUAGCUCAUACAGUUGUACUCAUCGUUUACCUUCGUUGGUUGAAGAAUUUAAUUAAUUACAAACAAUAAAAAUUAGGGUAACGUACAGAUCAGUACUGAAAAAAGGAAUUCUCAUAAUUUGAGCAUGACUUUUGAUUUGGACAUAUACAAUGGUAGGCUUGCGUACCUUGACAUCCAUCAAGAAGAUAGGGGUUUCCUUGAUAGCCCUUUUUGCAAGAACAUUGCCGAAAAAUGUUGCAGUUCAUGUUUUGAUGGGAAAAGUUAUAUGUUCCAUAUAUAUGCUGUUCAGAAUAUUGAUUCAACUGAUAUUCCAGCACUACAGGGACGCUGUCCAUGUCCACAAUGGUAGAGAUAUUUGUUGACAUAAACCAAUCGUGGUCUACCAUGAAGGCAUACUUGCAUUCCAUUUCACUGUCACUACCGUUAAUUAGCACUGCUGCAAAACUAGUAUUGAAGAAUGAAAGACCAUCCAAAAUGGUGGUCUGGCAGCAGCGCAAACCACUACAGCUAUUAUUUUGAAAGAUAGUACUAGUACUGUGAGUAAUAUUAUCACAAAUGGAAUAGCACCCACCAAGUGGGCUCCCCUGAUCUGUCAUCAAGGCAAUUACAUCACAACCGAUUGAAGUGAAUCUGUUGCUCUUGGAAAACACAAAAGGGCUUCCAAGCAAGUUGGGUGCCUGGCGGUCGCUCUUCUUGUUAUCGCAAUUAGAGAAGGUGAUUGCGCUUGUGACUGUAAGUGUGCCUCCAAGAGAAAUUUCCAGCACCUCUAACCCAGUCCGGUUCAAGAAAGCCUUCGGAGGGCUGGCUGAGUUGUUGCAUAUUAUUUGGAACCAGUCGUCCAGGUAACAACCUGCUCCAAUUCCGAAAGGAUAUGGGAUUUGAGUGAUGUUUCCGCAUUGCGACAAACAAUUUGGUUUUGCCAAGGAUGCUUCUGAUGCUACUGCUAGUAGUGCAUUACUCAUAGACCACAAGAACAGAGUGAUAUGAAGUAGCAACUGGCCAACCAUUAUGUUUCUUCUUCCUUCUCUUUAAUUACCAAUCUGCCUGCGUAGUAGGAAGCUUGGAAUUAGAAUUUAGCUAGCAAAGCAAAAUGCUCAUUCUUGAGCCUAAGCUUUCUCUCGGAUAAUAUUAAAAGAAAAUAAGGAAGGGGCAGAGUAGUACUGUUACAAGUCAAGUCCACUAACUACGACAAAUUAUUCAGGUUUACCAUUUCUUCUUCAGAAGAAAAAACAAACACACUGGAGCAAGAAGUUUGAGGUGAACUUUCUUUGCAAUGUGUUUGGGAGCUUUAUUACACCUAAAAUGGACCCCACAAAAUGACAAAUCAUACUUUUUAUAAAUCAUUUACUAACUCUUGUAUAUUUCUUUGCUUUGUCUAUUGACCAACUUGUAGAGUAUCUCACACGGAAGGAUCGAUGGAAAAGUUAGCUUAAAAGCUUAAGAGAUGUAGGGCCUCUUCGCACAUGACCAAUUAGUUUAGGGUUUAAUGCUCAUACUCUAUGCCCUACAUAAAGGAUUAGUAGAAUUGAAGGGAAUCUAUUGUUGUCUAGGAUUUAUGUUAUGAUAGCUGUGUGGAAAAAGUAAACCUAAGCAGCCAGACUUGACCGUAAUCAAUUCUACUAAUCCUCUAUGUAGUGCAUAGGGAUUUCUGUUAUCUUGUGUGGAUAAGAAAUGCUUUUGCAGAAUCAUUUUGCAUAUUAUCAUGCAGUUCUCUCUUUCUUCUUUGUUUCCAAGUUGUUGUUUGCCAAGAUGUCCAACUCAACAUAUGUGAUGAGAAGAAAAUGACGCAAUUGAAAAGUAAAAGAUUCUCAAACAAAAAAUUUCUUUGCAACUGUCUUCACGAUGGAAACAAAUUGAAGGAACUUUUCUUUUGGUAAAGUGUGUGGAAAUUGUAUGUGUAGAGCUGUCAUGAUUGUCUGUCUGAUAUGUCUGGUGAUAGAGAAUUCAAUUAGGAAUUGAAUUCCUGAUUUUGGAGAAAUUCAAUUCUUGAGUGGGAGGUGGUAUUUUAAUUUUUGGAGAACUAAACCAUUAGGCUUUUUUACCCAUUAUAUCCUCACGCAAUUUAAAAUUUUCCAAACUUGCCAACUACUUUAACCCAACAACGAGGACAUUUUAGUAAUUAGCACAACUCCUACCUCAAUUCCAUAUGGUUUAGUGAACAACUUUAAUAGGAAUCCGGAAUUUAAUUCUCCGCAAUCCAACUCCUCCUCAAUUCAAUUCAUUCUUAAUUCAAUUCCUCCUAAUCUAAUUACAGAUUAGUAAACAUGUCAUUAGUCUAUAUGGAGGAAGGACUUGGAACACUAGGAAACAAAAUUGAGUUUUAAAUUGUCAUCUGUAACUAGGAGCUAGGGAAAGAAAAAAAAAGCGUGUUAUAUUAAAACAAAUAUUUGUUCAGUGUCUUGGACAGCAAUUCUAGUAGGAACUUGACAAAUCUUCCUCUGCCAGGAUAAAACUUAAAAACAAAAAAACAAGAGUGAUAAUUAAGGAUCAUAGUCCGUCCUUGCUUCACUGCCAUCUCAACUGCUUUAGUUUACGAUCAUAGUCGACUUAAUGAUGGAAUUAAAAAGUAAUAGAUUAUAAAGCAAAAGUUUUCUUUGCAACUUAGUGCGUGUACUGUAUAAUGAAGACCCCCCUUGUCCAUCGACGAAAAGGAACAAACACUAGUGGUGGGUUGGAAUGGAAAUUGUAUAUGACUGGUAGUUGAAAAUCCAAGUGUUUCCUUCUCAUUAUUUCUUCUAGCUACCCACAAAUUUUUUUAAAAAAUAAGUUGACUAGCUACUUGAUUUGAGUCACCCAUGCAGUGCAUGCUCAGUUAAUUAUUGUGGCCAUAACAAGACGAAUCACCAUUUGUUGAGUUGAGAGGUCGUUGUCCAAAAAUAAAUUAAAAUUGAAAAUAUUAUUUAAUUAUUAAUUUUUCUUCUGUCGUUUUUUUUUGGGUUUCAAGUACACACAACUCCUUUAGAUGUAUCAAGAGAGGAAAACUCUCUUAAUUAAGAAAACUAAGCAAUCCAAAAUAUCAGAAAAAUUAUCUCUGAGAACCAAGUCUGAGUUUUAGACCUCUGAGUUCAGACCCAAAAAGAAAGACCUCUAGUUCAUCUUGUUUCCAUUAUUCUCUUCUCUGAUCUUGCAUAAAAUCCAACACAAGAAACAGAGCUAGAAAAUUUCCUUACAGAUAAGGUGAUAGUCUAAAAGAUGAUUCCAAGUCCAAAAACCGAGAAUAUAUAAUUACAACAAAUAUAUUGUUCACUGUGUAUUGAAAAACAAUAGUGGCUGUACAUCGAAUGAAGAACCUGUACCGCCAUCCGUACAAGGACCUGUUGAUGAAGAAACAACAUCGCAAAUUUUUUAAAAAAAUCUGGUCGGUUCGGUUCUGAUCAGUUCCGAUUUUAAAUUUUUUUAAUUUUUUUUUAAAAUAAAAAUUAUAAUAAAUAAGUUAUUUUUUUGGCUUAAAAUUAACAAAUGACCCAAUUCAUACAAUGAUAAAUUUUUUGAAGUUGAAUUUGGAAAAAUAUUAAUUAUAAAAUUUAAAAUAUAGAAUUGGAUUUUUAAAUUUUGUAAUUAAAAAAAAAAAUACAACCUGUUCGGUUUGGUGUAGUGUAAAACCGAAACUGGUUGGAACCGGUUCCGGUCUGGUUUGUUGACUUUUUUGGUCAACCAAUUUUUUUCCCCCUUUUUUUUCACCGGUCUGGUUCAGUGUUCCGGUUUUCCAAUCCGGAUGCCCACCCCUAACGAACAACUUCCCAGUGAGUCACCUAUCAUGGGAUUGCUCUAGUCCCAACUCGCUCAACUUCGGAGUUCCCAUAACUCCGAAGUCAAUGAGCUCCCAAAAGGCCUUGUGUUAUAUGGAGGCGGACAUGUACAUAUAAGGCACAUCACCCCAUCUCCGUUGGUCGAUAUGGGAUGUUACAACUGCAGCCAGGUUUUCUUUAGUCACAUUGGCCUGAUUGUACCUUUUCCAACAUAUGAUAUGAUCCUCUUUAAAAAGACCAAUUGAGCCUGAAGAUUGGGCAAAGGGAUAUAGAACACAAAAGGAGGGAUAAGAGAGAAAGAAGGGGAGGGAAGGGAGGAGAGGUUGGCUUGUGGUGAAGAGGUACAGUGUUGCAGCCGGUGCUGUGAGGUUGGUUGGGCCAUAGGUGGUUGUUGUGGUUGAGUGGCUGUUUUUUAUUAUUAAUUAUUAAUUAUUAAUUUUAUUCAGACUUUUUUUUUUUUUUUUUGCAAUAUUUCAUUUAGACUUAACAGUGUUAAGUUGGUGUUGGAUGUGUCAUAUCUUAUGUCAUUAGAUUAUUAGAACGAUCAAGAUUUAGUAAAAUACGGGUAACUGCGUAAUAUCCAAAUGCAGAGGCUCGAGAUCCAAAAAGGUAUAUUAUUUGUAAUUAAAAAAAAUAGGCACAUGGUUUAUUAAAAAAUAGGUACGUUAUUAAAAAGAUACUUACAUAUGUAGGUCCAAAAAACAGGUACGUUAUUUAUUUAAAAAAAAUAGGUAGAUUAUUUAUAUAAAAAAAUAGGUAUAGUAUAUGUUUUUGAGGAAAAUAAAAAUUAAAUUUUGUUUGCCAAUACAACAAAAAUCUGAAAUUAAUACAUAUUUUGUUGGUCAGGACUUUUGUUUGAGUUGAUUUUUGUGGAAAAAGUACGCUAUGAUGGAAUAAAAGAAUGAUAUUUUUGGUGGUGGGUACGGUUAUGUGGAAGUAAUAAUGGGUAAGAGAAGAAACUUGUUCUCUUGUGAUAAUCAAAAGCAGAAAGUAGUGGGAAAAGUAGUGGGACACUAUUUUAGAUAUGAUAAUGUUCCUUCUUUGAUUGAUGCAAAUGAAGAGAAAAGGGUGGCUUUAUAUAAUAGCCACUACCCACCUAACACAUUAAAGCCACUACCCACCUAACACAUUAAAUACACAACUAACACCAAACAUAGUUAAUUCAACUAACUUCUACCACACCAUUAAUUUAACACACAACUACCAACAAACUGCCAACUAUUUCAAAGUUACCAGCCGACUAUUAAUGAAGUCUAGAUUACUUUAACAUCCCCUCUUAAGCUAGACUUAAUUUACGCCAAUUAAUUUUCUCAUCUUGAUGAGCAGCUCCUUCUUCAACGGUUUGGUGAACAAAUCUGCCAGCUGAUCUUGGGACUUGCAAUACAGAACCUUAACUUCUUUAUCUUUGAUUAGCUCUCUGAUGAAAUGGAACUUGAUCUUGAUAUGCUUACUCUUGCUGUGAAACAUUGGAUUUUUGGAAAGACAAAUAGCUGAUUUGUUGUCGCAGAACAGCUUUGUAGGUCUUUCUUGAACUUGACCCAUCUCUUCUAAAAUACUUUUCAGCCACCUGGCUUUACAACCUUGAGAGUUCUUCUUGGUGUAAAGAGUAUGCUCAUAUGGGCAUUUGUGAAACCCAUACUCUUGGAAGAAUGCAUCAAUCCGACUGUACCAAGCUCUUGGAGCUUGUUUCAAACCAUAUAAAGCCUUCUUCAAUCUACACACUUUUGUUUCUUCAUUUCCCUGCACAUAACCUGGAGGUUGAGCAACAUACACUUCUUCUUCCAAGAACGCUGAUUUAACGUCCAUUUGAAAGACUUUCCAACAAUUUUGGGCAGCAAGAGCUAACACCAUUCGGAUGGUGUCAAAGCGUGCAACUGGAGCAAAAACUUCAUUGUAAUCAAUUCCAUAAUUUUGCUUGUAGCCUUUAGCUACCAAGCGAGCUUUGUAUUUCUCAACUUCUCCUUGAGCAUUCAGCUUGGUCUUAUACACCCAUUUUACUCCUAUAGGCUUCUUUCCUUGAGGAAGAUCAACCAGCUCUCAUGUGUCAUUUUUCUUAAUGGAAUCAAUUUCUUGAUCCAUAGCCUUCACCCAUUUUUCAUCCUUUGAAGUCUCUUCAAACAUAAUUGGGUCUGCAUCUACAAAUAGAGCAAAAUUUGUGCCACCAUUAGUGAUCAAAACAUAAUCACUAGAUGGGUACCUUGUGGAUGGUUGAUGAGCUCUUGUUGAUCUCCUUUGUCCUCUGCAAAUUUCUUCUUCCUCACUGCUAUCACUAGAAGAAGUUGAUGAUGACCCUUGUGAUGAAGAUUCCUGUGAUGAUGAAGUUGUUGGUGGAGUUAAAUCUGGAUUUUCAAGGCCAAUGUCCAACAGUAUUGGACUUUGAUUUUCAGCUUCACUCCAAUUCCAUGCUUCUUCUUCAUUGAACUUGACAUCACGACUAACAAUAAUCUUGUUAGUCAAUGGAUUAAACAACUUAUAUGCCUUGGCCUUUUCACUAUACCCAACAAGAAUGCACUUUUCUGAUUUGUCAUCCAAUUUUCUCCUUGUUUCAUCAGGAAUAUGAGAAUAAGCAAUGCUGCCAAAUAUCCUUAAGUGACUAAUACAUGGCUUGAGGCCACUCCAAGCUUCUUGAGGAGUCGUGCCUUCCACACUAUUGGACGAUGUACAGUUCAAGAGAUAUACAGCACAUGCCACUGCUUCUGCCCAAAAACGAUUAGGCAUUGCUUUUGCCUUCAACAUGCUUCUUGCCAAUUCCAUAAUGGUCCUAUUUUUUCUCUCGGCCACACCAUUUUGCUGUGGGGUGUACCGAGCUGUGAACUGAUGCUUAAUCCCAUUUUCUUUUAGAAAAUUUUCGAACACAUUGGAUGAGAAUUCUCCACCUUGAUCAGACCGCAAGGUUUUCAAUGCAAAUCCACUUUGCUUCUCAGCCAAAGCUUUGAAAACUUUAAAGUAAUCAAACACCUCUGAUUUAUAUUUGAGAAAAUAGACCCAUGUAUUUCUGCUAUAAUCAUCAAUGAAUGUAAGAAAGUAGCGGUUACCUCCUGUUGAUGUUGUGUUCAUGGGCCCGCAUACAUCUGAGUGCACCAGCUCAAGAGGAUGGGAUGCUCUCCAAGAAUUUCCUGUAAGAAACGAAUUUCUCUGAUGUUUUCCCAGCACACAUGCUUCACAAACUUGUGUUUGAUGCUGUAUCGUUGGUAGGCCUCGUACCAUAUGUUGUUUCCCCAUCAAUGAUAGUGUAUUGAAACUCAAAUGCCCAUAGCGUAGAUGCCACAACCAUGAGGAAUCCUUGAUAAGUGCACUUAAGCAAGCAAAAGAUUCAUACUUUAUGUUCAGAGAAAACAUAUUGUCUCCUGACAUCUGCACCUUUGUAAUUAGAGAGUUGUACUUGUCUCUAAUUACACACUGGUCUUCCCUGAACUGAAUAUUAUGGCCUUUACGAAGAAGUUGCCCUACACUAAGGAGAUUGUAAUUUAAAUCUGGAACAUAUAACACAUCAGAGAUUCUUUUUUGUUCUCCAGACUUGGACAGAAAAAGAAUAUCUCCACAUCCUUUGGCCACUAGCUUUCCACCAUCACCAAUCCUUACUUCUGAGUUGUUGGUAUGCUUGAAAUUGACAAAGGCACUUUUGUUGCCUGUCAUGUGAUUACUACAUCGGCUAUCAAGAUACCAUUUUUUUGCACACACGUUUCCUUCCCUGGCAGCUGCAUAUGCAAGUAGAACCACAUUAUCAUUUUCCCUUUCAGAAGCUUUUUCAUGCACAAAGCUUGAUUCGGCUCCUCCAUUUGUUUUGUUUUUGCAUGUUGACUUGAUGUGCCCAUAUUGCUUGCAAUUGUAGCACUGAAUAUUAGAAAGAGAGGAACCUUGUUCUCUUCCUCUUCCUCUUGAAUAACCACCAUAAUCUCCUUUUCCUCUUGGAAAACCAUAAUCUCCUCUUCCUCUUUGAUAACCAUAAUCCCGUCUUCCAUAAUCUCCUCUUCCUCUUGAAUAACCAUAAUCUCGUGCAGAGCCUUCAUCAUUAGUUUCUUUCUGGUCAUUUGCAUAGCCACAUCCUUGAUUAUUUCUUCCUCGUCCACGAGCAAAGCCGCCUCCUCCUCUUCUAGAACUUCCUCUGAAUGAGACUUGAGAUUGAAAAGCUUGCUCAACAGGGCCAGAGUCAAACUGCUUCAGUCGUAACUCAUGGGAUUGAAGAGAACCCAUUAAACUGUCAAGAGACAGAGUAGACAGAUCUUUGGAUUCUUCAAUUGCCACCACAAUAUAUUCAAACUUUCGAGACAUACUUCGAAGAAUUUUUUCAGCAACUCUCUGAUCUUCAAUUUUUUCUCCAUUAAUUCUCAGUUGGUUGACUAGAGAAAUGACACGAUUGAAAUAGUCUUCAACAGAUUCUGACUCCUUCAUACGUAACAUAUCAAACUCACCUCUUAGAGUUUGCAGUCUUGCCAUCUUCACUUUUUCUUCUCCUUUAUAUGAUGCAAAGAGAGUGUCCCACGCCUGUUUUGAUGUAGUGCAUGAUGAGAUUCUUUCAAAGAUAGCUUCAUCCACUGCUUGAAAGAUAAAGAAUAAAGCCUUUUUGUCCUUCUUACGUGUCUCCUUCAGCUCUGUGAGUUGUUGUUGAGUGAGGACUGCUUGAUCAUUUGGCUCCACAAAGCCAUUUUCAACCACCUCCCACAAAUCUUGAGCAGCUUACAACACCUUCAUUUAGAUGCUCCAUUGACUAUAAUUCUUCCCUGUAAACUUUGGAAGCUGGGGCUGUAACAAGUUGUUGUUUGAAGCCAUAUGAUUCUGAGUUUCCAGCUCUGAUACCACUUUGAUGGAAUAAAAGAAUGAUAUUUUUGGUGGUGGGUACGGUUAUGUAGAAGUAAUAAUGGGUAUGAGAAGAAACUUGUUCUCUUGUGAUAAUCAAAAGCAGAAAGUAAUGGGACACUAUUUUAGAUAUGAUAAUGUUCCUUCCUUGAUUGAUGCAAAUGAAGAGAAAAGGGUGGCUUUAUAUAAUAGCCACUACCCACCUAACACAUUAAAGCCACUACCCACCUAACACAUUAAAUACACAACUAACACCAAACAUAGUUAAUUCAACUAACUUCUACCACACCAUUAAUUUAACACACAACUACCAACAAACUGCCAACUAUUUCAAAGUUACCAGCCGACUAUUAAUGAAGUCUAGAUUACUUUAACACGCUAAAGCAGGCAGACUUGAACCAUUUUGACCCAUUUUGACCAAGUUGGCCGAAUACACACAAAGCUCCGAAGCUUGCAGCGGAAAUUAGAUGACAUCCAAAGUAGAAGUUAUUCUCCAGUAGUUGAGUUUCAACAUAAAAAUAUAUGUAGGGAAAUGGAUGUGUUACUGGAAAGAGAAGAAAUGAUGUGGAGGCAGAGAUCGCGGGUCUCAUGGAUGAAAUAUGGGGACAAAAACACUAGAUUUUUCCAUGAACAUGCAAAAAUGCGGGGACGGCAGAAUAUGAUUAAGGCUAUUGUAGAUGAUCAGGGGAUUUGGCGUACAUCUACUGAAAGUGUUGGCAUUGUUUUCUGUGAUUAUUUUCAAGGCUUGUUUGCUUCCAAUGGACUACAUGAGGCCGGGGCAGUCACUGAGGUGGUUAAGCCGAUACUCACUCCAUCUCAAAUUUUGCGCCUCAAUCAAGUUUUCUUAAGGGAGGAAAUCGAAACUUCUCUGGGUCAAAUGUUUCCUACCAAGUUUCCAGGAGUGGAUGGUAUGUCGGCAUUGUUUUAUCAGAAGUAUUGAGGGGUGGUAGGUGAUGACGUGGUUGGGUUCUGCCUUAAUGUCUUGAAUGGGGGUGCCAGUGUAAAAGAAAUUAAUCACACACUUUUGACGCUCAUUCCUAAGGUAGACAAACCAACAAAAGUUACUGAGUUUCGGCUGAUUAGUUUGUCUACGGUGAUCUACAAGAUGAUUUCCAAGACUAUAGUUAACAGGUUGAAGCCUAUUAUGCCUCUUAUCAUCUCUGAGUUCCAGAGCACGUUUGUCCCUACAAGGCUAAUUACGGAUAACAUUAUUGCUGCUUUUGAAAGCAUACAUGCUAUUAAACGGCGUGGUGGGAGUAAGCUGAAGAAAAUGGUGUUAAAGCUUGAUAUGUCUAAAACUUAUGACAGAGUGGAAUGGACCUUUAUUGAGGCUAUGCUUAAGCGCUUGGGCUUUAACGACAAAUGGGUGGAACUAAUCAUGGAUUGUAUAUCCACUGUUACAUACUCUGUCCAAGUUCGGGGGGUGGCUUCGGGAAUGAUUGUGCCAUCAAGGGGGCUGCGCCAAGGAGAUCCUCUUGUAAAAUAAUAUCUCGUAUAUUUUUGUGUGUUUGCAAUACAGAAUAAGGCCAAUAUAUAAAACCAACAAGACUACCUAAGGAAGGUAAUUUAAAUCCUAAGUUAAGGGCACUAAUUUGUACAAGCCUUAACAGAGAAGUUGACUAUUCCUAUACAAGGUAACAAAUAAUAUAUUUUGUAAUCUUUCCAUAUCUUCAAUAUUCCCCCUCAAGCUGGAGUAUGGAGAUCAAGAAUACCCAGCUUGUUUUUGAGUCGUUGGAAUUGAUCUUUACCUAAAGACUUGGUAAAGACAUCUGCGAGUUGCUCCUUUGAAGGAAUAUAGGCAGUACGUAAAGAACCAUUUUGAAUCUUCUCUCGAACAACAUGACAAUCGAUCUCAAUAUGUUUGGUGCGCUCAUGAUAUACUGGAUUAGCUGCUAUGUAUAAAGCAGCUUGGUUGUCACAAUAAAGUAAGCUUGGUGUGGUGUGUGACAGACCAAGAUCAUAAAGUAAAUAUCGUAACCAUUGGAGUUCACAAGUUGCCAUAGCCAUCGCUCUAUAUUCUGCUUCAGCUGAUGAGCGUGAUACAGUAUCUUGCUUCUUUGUUUUCCAUGAGAUAGGACUUUCUCCAAGAAGUACAAAGUAACCUGUAGUCGACCUCCUUGUCAUUGGACAGCUAGCCCAAUUAGAAUCACAGUAGGCUCUCAAUUGAAAAUUAUUAGAAGAUGAUAACAGAAUCCCUUGCCCUGGAGUCCCUUUCAAAUAAUGUAAUAAUCGAUCUGCAGCAUCUUUAUGAGUUGUACGGGGGCUUUGCAUGAAUUGGCUCAAAAUAUGAACUGUAUGAACAAUGUCUGGCCUGGUGAUGGUGAGAUAUAUCAAGCGACCCACCAAUCUUCUAUAGGUUUCUGGAUUAUGUAAUAGUUCUCCAUCUUCAUUGUUUAACUUGAGAUUUUGUUCCAUGGGGAAGAAAGUAGGACGUGAACCAAUAAGACCUGAGCCUUUCAAAAUGUCAAGUGCAUACUUCCGUUGGCUCAAAUACAAUCCCUUUGAAGAACGAGACACUUCUAUCCCAAGGAAGUAUUUUAAAUCACCAAGGUCUUUUAAAUGAAAACGUUGGUGCAACAAAUUCUUGAUAAUUGAUAUAGUAGCAACAUCGGUACCUGUAAUAAUAAUAUCGUCAACAUAUACAAGCAAGAAAAUUGAUGACUUACCUUUGUGACGAUAGAAAAGGGAGUAAUCUGCUUUAGAUUGAGAAAAUCCCGCAUCAAGUAAUGUUUUGGAGAAUUUUGCAAACCAACACCGAGAAGCUUGCUUUAAUCCAUAAAGUGAUUUGUUAAGACGGCACACCAUGUUUCCCCCCUUGCCGUGAUAACCUUGAGGGAGCUGCAUGUAAACCUCUUCAUGUAAAUCACCAUGAAGAAAGGCAUUGUUGACGUCUAAUUGUUGAAGACACCAACCCUUGGCAGCGGCCAAAGAUAAUAAAACACGAACAGUGGUAAGCUUGGCAACAGGAGAAAAAGUUUCAUGAUAAUCAAUCCCUUCCAUUUGCGUAUAUCCCUUGGCGACGAGGCGAGCUUUGCAUCGUUCAAUAGUGCCAUUAGAAUGCCGUUUUAUUUUAUAGACCCACUUGCAGCCAAUGGCUUUUUUAUGAGCAGGCAAGGCCAUGAGGGUCCAUGUAUGAUUAGCUUCCAAGGCAACAAGUUCACUUUGCAUAGCUUUACGCCAUUCAGGAUAUUUAGUAGCUUCAUCAAAAGUGUUAGGCUCAACAAUGGUAGUAAUAGAAGCAAGAAAACUUUGAUGUUUAAUAGAGAAUUUGUCAUAAGAUAAAUAAUGGGAUAAAGGGUACCUGGUGCCAUGUUGACCUGAAGUCGAAGAGGUUGCUUGAGAUUGGUAGCAGUGAUAAUCAUUAAGGUAACCAGGUGGUUUGCGACUACGAGGAGGAGGAGAUGAGGGAGGUGCUAUAAUGGUAGAGGAAGUAUUAGAAUUUGUGAUGGCUGGUGUAGGUGUUUCGGUAGGAGAUGGAGGCAAAAGAGAUGGGAGAGAAGAAAGUAUGUUGGUUGGUGGAGAAGAAGGUAUGUUGGUGGGUGGAGUAGAGGGAGACGUGUUAGUGUCUGGAGUGGCUUGUGUUUCUGGGUUAGAUAAAUCUGGUGAGGUAAGUGGAUGAGCGGAAGCUAAAGGAAGGUAGGAAUGUUCAAAAUCUGUUGCAGGAAUGGGUAAAACACCAGGUAAAGUGUGGUUAUUUUGUGAUAAAUUAUAAGGAAAAAUAGUUUCGUAAAAAGUGACAUCUCUAGAAGUGUAAAUUUUCUUUGUUUCAAGAUCAUAUAUUUUAUAAGCCUUUUGAAAAGGUGGAUAACCAAUAAAGAUACCUGGUUUUGCUCGUUUAUCAAAUUUAUGAGAAUGGGGAGACAAGUUAUGACCAUAACAAAGACAACCAAAAAUUCGUAGGUGGGUAUAAGAUGGUUCUUUGUUGAAAAGAAUUUCAUAAGGUGUUUUCCCAUGUAAGAUUUUGGUGGGUAAACGAUUAAUUAGAUAAGCAGCAGUAAGAACACAAUCACCCCAAAAAGAAACAGGUAAAUUUGAUUGAAAACGAAGGGAACGAGCAAUAUUUAAAAGAUGACGAUGUUUUCUUUCGACGACACCAUUUUGUUGUGGUGUUGCCACACAACUAUGUUGAUGAAUGACACCAAGUGAAGAAAAAUAUUGGUUCAAUUUGUGAUUAAAAAAUUCAGUUCCAUUGUCAGUACGAACUUGACGAAUAGAACAAUUAAAUUGUGUUUUGACCAUAGCAAAAAAAUAUGGUAAGUAGGUAUUAACUUCUGAUUUAUGCUGCAUUAAAUAAAGCCAAGUACUACGAGAAAAAUCAUCAACUAUGGUUAAAAAAUAUUUAGCACCAGAAAUUGAAGAAACAGAAUAAGGUCCCCAAACAUCACAAUGUAUUAAAUCGAAGCAAGCAUUUGUUGAUAUAGUGCUUAAAGGAAAAGAAAGCCGACAAUGUUUAGCCAAAGGGCAAAUAGUGCAAGCAUGAUUAUUAUCAAAAGAAAUUUUUGAAUUCAAACUUUGUAAAUAAGGAAGAGUACACUUGGAUGGAUGUCCUAAGCGCCAGUGCCACUGACUAAAAUUUGGGGAAGAGACAGCGGAAUUAGCAAUGGAAGGCACAUCAGGGGCUAGGUAAUAAAGACCACCACGUUCCUUGCCCUUACCAAUCAACCUCUUCGAACUCAAGUCCUGCAAAACACAAUGAUCAGAAUAAAAGGUAAUGGAGCAAUUAAGUAGUUUAGUGAUUUUGCUAACAGACAAAAGAUUGAAUCGAAAAUCGGGGACUAGCAAAACAUUUUUUAGAGGCAAGGAUGGUAAAGGUGUGGCAAAGCCAAUAUGAGUGAUGUUGGAUGUUUGUCCUGUUGGCAAUUUGAUGGGUGCGGUGUUAAGUGUGGUCAUGCUUUCUAAAAAAUUAGCAUUGGAAACCAUAUGAUCUGUGGCACCGGAAUCGAUGAUCCAAGAACCAAUAUUGAAUGAUGAAUUAAAACAUAAUGGGUUACCUACCAGAUUGGCUACUGAAUUAUUUUUACCAUAGGGUAACAAGGCAAUAAGCUGACUAUAUUGUUCUGAAGUCAGCGAUGGUGCAGCCAAUGUGUUGGUGGUCAUAGCAGCAAAGGAACCAGUAGAAGCAGUACUUGAAGAAGAAUACAUGUUCUUCUUUUGACAAUGAGAUUCAGUGUGCCCUGCAACAUCACAAAACUUACAAAGCAUAUAAGAUUUUAUGUCAGGAUUUUUCCGGCAGCAUGAUUGAGAGUGACCAUCAAGUUUGCAAAAAUUGCAAUGAUAAAAAGGCUUCUGAGAUGAUGAUUGAUUGGCAGCCAUGACUGACUGGUCAAGCGAUAUAGUGAUUGUACGGUGAAGAGAGGCUUGAAAGCAGGUUUAAGGUUUUAACAGAGACCAGUGUAGGCUCUGAUACCAUGUAAAAUAAUAUCUCGUAUAUUUUUGUGUGUUUGCAAUACAGAAUAAGGCCAAUAUAUAAAACCAACAAGACUACCUAAGGAAGGUAAUUUAAAUCCUAAGUUAAGGGCACUAAUUUGUACAAGCCUUAACAGAGAAGUUGACUAUUCCUAUACAAGGUAACAAAUAAUAUAUUUUGUAAUCUUUCCAUAUCUUCAAUACCUCUCUCUCCAUAUCUGUUUUUAAUCUGUGCGGAGGGACUGUCUGCUUUGCUUUCUAACGCACUCAGAAUCAAGCGUAUCAGCGGCAUUUCCGUGGCUCAGGGAGCACCUACUAUUUCUCAUUUAUUUUUUUGCAGAUGAUAGUCUACUUUUUUGUAAUGCCCAUCUAGCUGAUUGUGCUCAUUUGCUUCAGAUUCUCAGCAUGUAUGAAAGAGCAUCUGGUCAGAAAAUUAAUUUUGAUAAGUCGGCAGCAUGUUUUAGCCCCAACACUAAUCCAGUGAUGAAGCAACUGAUUUCUGAAAUGCUUGGAAUGCGAAUUGUUACAUGUCAUGAACGCUACCUUGGUUUUGUAAGAGUAUCAGUGAUGAUGAUAUUGCCAAGUGUCAAUAGAUCAAUGAGUAAGCUGUUAGAAUGUGGUUAGAGUUGUUAGCAAAGUGAGUAGCCAGCUAAGACUGUAGUUAGGCUGAUAUAAAGAUUGUAAUGUGCUCAGUUAGAGCUUAACAAAAUACAGAAACCUACAAUUCCUUCUCUAAAAUUCUCUUUGCUUCUACAGUUUCUUUACUCUGUUCUUCAGUUUCUCUUCAUCUUAACAUGGUAUCAUUCGCCAUGGAUCGAUCCUAAUAUUUUGUUCUUCUGCUUCCGCUCUCUCUUCCUCUUUGUUUUCUCUCUCUGGCUUCUUUCUCUACUCAAACACAGCAACCAAUUUCGUGUUCUUUCUUCUGCCUAUUACCUGUUUGAUGUUUUGUCUCACUGAAAAUUCUUCUUCAAUAUUUCUUUUUCAGAUAAUUUCUUCUUUCUCAACCCUAAAUUCUUUUCUUUUCUUCUUGGAUUCUCCACGUGGUGACUACUACUCAACUUCAGAUUCUCCAAUCUCCGAUUACCUCUUUCAUUCCUACUGUUUCUACCUCUGUCACUACCUAUGUUUCUUCAUGAAUUUCUCCUCUACUCCUCUUUCUUGAAUUUUAUUCUUUCUAGCAAGUUUAAAGAAUAGUUUUGCCUAUCGGCUAUUUGCUAAAUUGCUCCAGUGAAAUCCUAGUCUUGAUUUUCUCCAAAAUUGACCUUUCAAAUUAUUCUUCUUGCUCUCUUCAACUUGUGCUCGUUAUUUCUGCUCAAAUCUUGAAAUCUAGCACAAUUACAAUUGACUCUUACUUAGAAGUAAGGCAUGAUGGUGAAAUUGGAUUGGGAACCUUACAUUCCUCUGUUUUUCUGCUUCCUCUGACAUUUGAGUUGCAAUUCUUGCACUUAUGGUUAAAGAACAAUCAUUUCUAGCCCACGACUGAUAUUGAGCUAAGGUUUGCCUACCUUAGCUCAAUGCUGCAAAUCCCGGAUGUUUAAUCAUGUGCAAGACCAAGUGUGGCGAAAGCUCAAUACUUGGGAUACGAAGUUGCUGUCUACGGCGGGCAAGGAAGUCUUAAUUAAGGUGGUUGUUCAGGCACUACCUACUUAUACAAUGGGAGUAUUUAAAUUGCCACAAUCUUUGUGCCAGGAAUUGUCUGCUAUGAUUGCAAGGUAUUGGUGGGGGAGGAGUGGCAGGAAAGGAAUUCAUUGGUUGAGUUGGAGGAAAUUGUGUAAGCCAAAAUGUUUGGGAGGCCUUGGCUUCAGAAACUUUGAAGCUUUUAAUAAAGCCAUGGCAGCAAAACAGGCUUGGCGUAUUUUAGAGAAACCCACCUCUCUGGUGGCUAAGCUACUUAAAGCCCUUUUUUUUCCGCAUGGUGAUUUUAUGCAAGCUAGUUUGGGAACCUCACCGUCAAUGAUAUGGAAAUCUAUUUUGUGGGGUCGUCAGGUUAUUGAGGAUGGUCUGAUUUGGAGGGUGGGCAAUGGAGCUUCUAUCCGUGUUUUCCAAGAUAGGUGGAUUCCAAAACCAUUUACUUUCAAGCCGUUGUUGGCUAGAGGGCUGGAUUGGAAUACUACAGUCUCUAACCUUCUAACUGCUUCUGGUUCAUGGGAUUUACCACUGUUAGAGCAACAUUUUAGCUUGGAAGAUCAAGAUAUUAUUUCUGGCAUCGCCUUGGUAUCAGUCUCACAGCGGGGGGAUAGCAAAUAUUGGUUUUUCUCAAAGAACAGGAAAUAUACCAUUAAUACUGGGUAUUGUGUGGCGGUAAUGAGGAUUUUGGAGUGGGGGGAUCGGAUCAGAGUGCUCAGGAAGGUUUUUGGAUGCGAAUUUGGAAGCUUGCAGUCCCCAACAAAAUUAAAAUGCGAAUUUGGAGGGCAAGUUCUGAAAUUCUACCAACUGCAGCCAAUUUAUUUAAGAGAAGGGUGCUUACAUCUCAUGUGUGCUCAAGGUGUGGGAAAUAUCCUGAAGAUGCCUACCACGCUCUGUGGUGUUGUAAAAUGAGUCAAAUUUUUUGGAAGUGUACCUAUUUUAUCCGGCGAAUUACUAUGGCGGUUGGCACUUUUGCUAAUGUUUUUGAGGCUGUGGCUUCAAUGAUGUCGAAAGCUGACUUAGAGUGCUUUGCUUGUUGUGUGUGGAGUGCAUGGAAGCUACGUAAUGACUCUUUGCAUGGGAAACAGAUUACACGGUUGGAUAACAUGGUGGAAAACACGAUGGAAAGGCUGGCAGUGUUCAAAUCUUGUGAGGAGCGGUCCAAGCUCCCCUUCGUACCUCAACAGGUCCAUUGGUUGAAACCACGGGUAAAUACUUUUACUCUUAACUGUGAUGGGGCUGUGGGUCGUGGGCAAAGUGGUAGGGGUCUGGGGGGCUGCUGUAGUGAUCAUGACGGAAACUUUAUAUGUGGGUUUGCUUCUUUUGGUCCACCUGGUCUAGAUGUUUUGGGCACUGAGUUGGUGGCUGUCCGGGAAGGUUUAUUGAUGAUGGGAUACAUGGGUUUUACUCGGUUUACCAUUGGUCUUGAUUCUCAAGAAGCUAUUUAUUCUCAACGAUGGGUUGGAUUGGUGGAGUAAUAUUGGUAAUGUGGUGGAGGAUGUUCGUCGGUUAAUGGUUGAUCGAGAGGUGGCUGGAGUGUUCUAUCAACACCGGAAAGGCAAUGGGGUGGCACAUGGCCUAGCCCAGCAUGGAUUGAGAGCGAGGUCUCGACAUUUCUGGACAGACAAUGUUCCUCCUUGGCUAAGCAUUCGGUUAGAUAAUGAUAGAACUAUGGCGUAGAUCUUUGUUUGCAUUUUUGAGUUGCGGUGGUACUCUUUUUCCUUGACCGGAUUUUCCUCCAUUAGGGGUUUUUUAUGGCAAUGUUUUAAUAAGGCCACACUAACGCUCUCCGUUCGUUUGUAAACUUUUAUUGUUUGUCUAGUGCUAGUGAUGAAUGAAAUUUUCUAUUUGAUCAAAAAAAAGUUGGAAUAAGUAAAUAAAAUUUUCAUGACAUGACACAUGUGUCCCUAGUAUUAUUGAUAAGCUUUUUAUGCCGAAUAUGUAGAAAAUCUUAAGACUACGUAGUGUUAGUAUGGCAUUUUUUGAAUAACAUUUCUAUUGUUUCUUUUUCCUAACACCACAACCGACUUUUUAUUUUAUUUUUAUAUAUGUUUGAAUAAAUAUAAAAGAAAAGGACAGAGGGUGGUUGAUCUGAUUAUUGGUUGUGUUGUGUUCAAAGAAAGUUCCUUUCGCACCUUCCAGCUGCUUGGUUCUCUGCAUUUCUAAUACAAGAUUAGUCCAAGAAUUAUCUCCAACAUUGUAUUCCAAAACAUUCCAUUCAGGUUUGCACAUAUGUAUGGUCUAGCAGCCAUACUUGAUAAAUUAAACAUGUAAGGUGACUUGAUGAUGGAAGGCAGUCAGUCAUUCUGUGAAUAGCCAAAGUUAAAAUCAGCGCUGCAAAAUAUGAAUGAAACAUUUCAAAGAAGAAAAUUCAUCACCCCUUGAAAGCAUCUUAGGAAAAUUUUCUUUUGGUUUUUAGAACAAUCUUAUAAUUAAUCGUUACUUGAAAAAUUCAUUGCUCCUUGCAUGGUGUUGGAUUGCGUCACCGAGAUCAAAGAGUUCUGUUAGGCUCAUCCCGUCAGUCUGUGCAGAAAGGACUUGGAAAACUAGGAAAUCAAAUUUGAGUUUAAAUUGUCAUAUAUAACCAAGAGCUACAAAAGAAAAAAUGUGUCUCAUAUAAAAACAAGUUUUUGUUCAGUGUCCUGGAAAGCAAUUUCUCUUAGGAAGGAACUGGACAACAAUUGCUCCUCUCUCUCUUUAGUUACCGAUUUGAUCUCUAGUUGGAAGCUUGGAAUAUUAUUUAGCAAAUUAAAUGUUCAUUCUUAAGUCUGAACCUCCUCUCUCUCUUUUUUUUUUUUUCCCAACACAGUGACUGUCUAAGAGGGAAAUAAACUAACACCUUAACCUAAACAAAUGGCCUGAGCUCUCCACUCUGUCAUAGUCCUCCUAUACUGACCCACAUGUGUAAGAGGCAAUUUCACAAACAGGUUACCCUAAACAACUAAACUCAACAAAAAUCCAUCCUCACCAUUAACAAGAAGCAGAACAUGAAACAUCAGUGCACCGUCUCCAAGAGUGGGGUCGCCGGAGUUUUGUCUGGUCAAUGUGGCUAUCGUUACACUUUCUCAAUUAACAUUUUUGUGCAAGGUUAGCAACUGCCACAAUCUCUUAUUUCCUGCCAUUGUUUGAGCAUCGAGAAUCAGACUUCCACCCAUAAAAGAAACUGUUUCUUGUCCAGUCAAGAAAUCAACAAAGGACCACCCCAGACCUAUAAACGUCACUCCUUCUCAAUGAACAAAGGAAAACAGAAGGUGACUUUAUUUUAGACCAUGAUUUUAUAAUGCAGUACUAGUCGCCCUCAUAAUUUUCAAAUUUAAAUCAGGCUUACAAAAUAUCGGUCAAAGAAACAAUAUAAGUUGCUAGGUUCUCAACUUUGUUAAUAUCCGUGCUUAAAAAGAUUGUUCUUUACAUGAUGUGGGAUUUCAUGAGUGUAUGGAGAAAGCUUUAGCUCACUAAGAAAAACUACAUAACAAAAUUUGAGUUUUAAUUUAGGGUUCAAUCAUAUGUGACCGAGAUGUUAAAGUUAAUGUUUAAUCCCUUGUUAUAACUCUCGGACAAAAUGUGCUCGAGCAUAUUUUCUAGUAUAGAAAGAGCUCAAGCUUGUUUUGGUAGAGACUUUGUCUGACGUGUUUUUUGGGAAGCCAAGUUACUUUUGAUAUUAUUAGCUUUUAGAUGUGCGUGAAAAGGGUGAACUACACACAACUCCUUUAGAUGUAUCAGGAGAGGAAAACUCUCUUGAUUAAGAAAACUAAGCAAUCAAAAAUAUCAGAAAAAUAUCUCUGAGAACCACGUCUGAGUGUUAGACCUCUGAGUUCAGACACACCCAAAAAAAAAAAGAAAAAAAAGAAAAAAAGAAAAAAGGGACCUCUAAGUUCAUCUUGUUUCCAUCAUUCACUUCUCUCGUCUUGUAUAAAACCCAACACAACAAACAGAGCUAGAAAAUUUCCUUGCAGAUAAGGUGACAGUCUAAAAGAUGAUUCCAAGUCCAAAAACCGAGAAUAUAUAAUUACAACAAAUAUUUGUUCGCUACUGUGUAUUGAAAAACAAUAUUGGUUGUACAUCGAAUGAAGAACCUGUACCGCCAUCCGUACAAGGACCUGUUGAUGUAGAAACAGCAUCCCAAACCUCAUUUAUUUCCUGAGUUUGGACACAUCGGACCUCUGGGAAAACUUGUUGAACAUCAGAGUCAGCUCUAACUGACAAUUGAAUUCCCUCCAACUCCAUUGCUACUUCUUUCUGUUAGUCUACAACCCAAACAGCCAGAACGAAUGUAACUCAUGCUGCACGUGUCUGUUAGGAUGGUCACGUGUCUGUUAGUUAGGAUGAGCUGGCUAAUGAGCUGGCUGGUUGUUAUUGUUGUUAAUCUGUUCUUAACUUAAUUCACUAGUUAUUUAGCUAGUAGAGAUAUAUAAGUUUAAUUGUAAAACUCUGUAAACAAGUAAAGAUGAGAAAAUCAAUUUGAGAACUCUAUUCUGUUUUGCUUACUCUCUCUCUCUCUCUCUCUCUCUCUCUCUCUCUCAAUACUUCUAGUCUGAGAAGCUUGAUCUGGUUCAUCCAUGGCUUCCAUGAAGAAAGCUUUCAUGGUAUCAGAGCAUUACCUUUACAUAUCGUGACUAAUUUCUCUAUUCCGCUGCUCACUUCUUAGCUCGUAUCUCUCACGCUCGUCUUUUUGAGGUUCUGCUUUCUUCUCAAUUUCUUCAUAUCUUUGUCAUUUUUCUUCAUCUCCAUUUUCGAUUCUUGCCUGUUCCAAUUGGUCUGCCAAUACACUCUCUUGCUUCGUUUCUCCCUGAACACAAUCUGAAUUUCAGAAUUUCUGCACUGGUUGAUUGUGUGCCUAAACCCUAGCUUCUGUUGAAAAUGGGGAAAACCUCUGUUACACCGAUUGAUUUGCUUCAUAAUGCCUCCAAUUAUAUUACUUUGAAACUGGAUGAUACAAAUUAUAUGCAAUGGAGCUAUCAGGUUGCGAAAUUUCUCAAAGUUUAUUGACUUUCUGAGUUUCUUGAUGGCACGGUUAUGGUGCCUACUGAUCCUGAUGGAGAUGAUUAUCUAGACUGGGAAGCAAUGGAUACUGCUAUUUUGAACUUAAUUGCUGCAAGUCUCUCAGAUGAUGCUUUCUCUGAGAUGAUGAAUUGUAAGUCUGCUACGGAGGCCUGGAAUACACUGUGAGAUCAUUAUUCUUCGAUCUCUGAGCUUAAGAUCAUGCAUCUUAAGAAUAAUUUGCAUGGAAUGCAGAAAGGAACUGAUUCUGUGGAGGUCUAUUGGAAGAAGGUUCGUGCAGCUCGACAGCAAUUGUCAACUGCUGGUCAUUCUAUUUCUGAUCAGGAUAUGAUUUUGCUUAUUCUCAAAGGCUUGCUUGUGGAAUACAAUCCCUUCAAAUCUCAUAUCCGUGCUCGACCAGUUCGAGUUACUCUUCCGGAGCUGCGUGAUUUACUGCUCGAAGAAGAAUGUGAUUUGGAUGCUGCUGCUAAGUCCUUUAAUUCUCCAAUCAUGACUACUAUGGUUGCUCAGAAGGGCACCGUAUCCUCAUCACCACCUGUUGCUCACGGUGAUAAUUUUCACUCUGGUUUGGUUGAUCGUGAAGGUGCUAAUCCAAAUUGGCAACCUCCCUGGAAUCGAAGCCCGAAUUAUCGUGGUCGUGGCUCUUGGUCUCGGGGCAGAUCAUGGAAUAAUGGUGGCCGAGGCAAUCCUUGGAAUAAUAAUGGUCCUAACUGGAAUGGUGGUAAUAAUGGUCCUAACUGGAAUGGUUCUACCAAUCAGUGGAAUCACGGUCGUCAGUCUGGAAAUUCCUAUGGUCAAUGGAACCAAAAUUCUGGUUCGUGGAAUAACAAUGCUGGUUUCAACAAUACUGGUCCAUGGCAUCCAGGGGGCAACUCAGGUUCUUCUCCUCAGUAUUUUGUCUCUUCGAAUUCCAGCCCUGGUGUUUUGUCACCUUCCCCUACGACUCCACCAGUUUCAACUGCUGCAUCUUCUCCAGCUACUGAAACAUGUCAAAUCUGUCUCCAGUUUGGUCACACAGCUCCUAAUUGCCCACAUCGCACCAAUUUCUCAUAUCAAGGCACGCCUCCAUCUCCAGCACUUACAGCUCUUACUGCAACUGCUAGUGGCUCAUUCUCAGAUCCCAACAUAUGGCUAACAGACAGUGGUGCUACAAACCAUAUGACAUCCGAUCUUCAGCUGCUCUCCAACAUCACUCCUUCCACUUCCAUGGAUAAUGUUACUAUAGGUAAUGGUACUGGACUUAGGAUUGCUAAUGUUGGUAGUUCCUCUCUUGUCUCUGGUCAUCAAGUCUUUCAUCUACCUGAGGUCUUGCAUGUUCCUAAUCUUGCCACUAAUCUGUUAUUGGUUCAUCAGUUUUGUCUUGAUAAUCACUGCCAGAUUUUAUAUAAUGCAUUGUGGUUCCAAAUCCAGGAUCUGCAGGGGCGAAUUCUGUAUCAAGGACAGUGCCAUAAUGGUCUUUAUCCACUUCCAACAAGGACACCUUCUCUUUUUCCUAGCCUGGCUGCUUUUCAUGGUCACAAAGUGUGCCAUACUCUGUGGCACUAUAGAUUAGGUCAUCCUUCUCAUGAUAUUACUAGUUUUAUGCUAGCCAAGCUCAUAUUCCCAUUUCUCCUAGUUUGCCACAUAUGUGUAGCUUUUGUUUACAAGGCAAGAUGUGUAAACAACCAUUUCCAUCUUCACAUAUUAUGUCUCAAAUCCCUUUUGAAGUGAUACACUCGAAUGUCUAGGGUCCUACUCCCUAUUCCUCUUUGCAUGGUCAUAGGUACUAUGUAAUUUUCCUUGAUGAGUGUACCAACUUCUGUUGGUUAUUUCCAUUAAUGAAGAAAUCUGAUUGUUUCCCUACUUUUGUUCAUUUUCUUGCCUACAUUGAGAAUCAGUUUGCUACUUCCAUUAAGACUUUCCAAUCUGAUGGUGGGGGUGAAUAUGUUAGUAAAGAUUUUCAGACCUAUCUUGGUUCUAAAGGAAUUUUACACCAUAAGUCUUGUCCUUACACCCCUGAGCAAAAUGGAAGAGCUGGAAGGAAACAUCGCCACUUAGUUGAAACUGCUGUUACACUUCUCACUACUGCUGCUCUUCCUUCCAAAUAUCUUUUUCAUGCAUUAUCCACAGCUAACUAUCUCAUUAAUAGGAUGCCAUGCAAGUCUUUAGGUAUGCAAUCUCCUAUUUCUAAGCUGUUCCAUAAAGAACCCAAUAUUACUCUUUUGAAGGUGUUUGGAUGUGCAUGCUAUCCUUUAUUACGACCCUAUUCUCAAUCUAAAGUGCAACCUAGGUCUGAACAAUGUGUCUUUUUGGGGUAUUCUUUAGAAUAUAAAGGUUAUCUUUGUCUAGUACCCAAAAUUGAUCGCAUUUACAUCUCUCGCCAUGUUGUCUUUGAUGAGACUUGUUUUCCUUUUAAGAGUUCUUCCUUUUCCCAGACAGUCCCAAACCACCAGAUUUCACACCACUAGGCCCUUCCCUUUCUCCUAGAUCUUCUCUACAUUCUGCAUGCACUCUUAGACUUGAUGGUUUACCAGAGGCUCCUUCUUCUACUACCCAAUUAGCAAGUCCAGUAUCUAAUGCAAGGGAAGUUGUCUCUUCUGUUGAUGUUAUUGAUUCUUCUACUGAGUUUGUACAGGAUCAGCUACUGCCACUACAGGAUCAGGUACCAACAGAGUCUUCCACUCAGUCAGUCACAUUAUCUUCUUCUCCUGCGCAUGCCUUGGAUAAGUCCCCUUCCCUAGAUCUGAUUGUGGACCUUCCUGCUCCACCUGUUAACUCACAUCCUAUGCAGACUCGCUCCAAGUCUGGAAUUAUCAAGUCUCGUCAUGGUUUCUUGGCUGCCAAGUCCAUAAGUGGCCCUUCUCCUUUCCAUGAACCACAGACUUAUUCUCAGGCUGCCAAGGUUUCAGAAUGGAAUCAUGCUAUGGUUGAUGAGUUUCAGGCUCUUGAAAAGCAGCAUACUUAGACUCUUGUUCCUUAUCAACCCUUCAUGAACAUUGUUGGUUGUAAAUGGGUGUUCAAACUUAAGAAAAAUGCUGAUGGUUCCAUUUCUCGGCACAAGGCUCGGUUGGUUGCCAAAGGGUUUCAUCAAGAGGCUGGUCUUAAUUAUGAUGAAACAUUCAGUCAUGUGGUCAAGCACUCUACAGUUCGAUUGAUCCUUGCUUUAGAUGCUCAAUAUCAUUGGUCCAUUAAACAACUUGACGUGAAGAAUGCUUUUCUUCAUGGUGUACUUCAUGAUGAAGUAUAUAUGCAACCGCCCCCAGGUUUUGAAGAUUCUGCUCAUCCUCAUCAUGUGUGCCGCUUAUUGAAGUCCCUUUAUGGGUUGAAACAAGCUCCUCGGGCUUGGAAUGAGCGUUUCACUACUCACUUGCUCACCCUUGUUUUUAUUCAAUCAUUGGCUGAUACAUCUCUGUUUGUUCGCGUAUCUGGGAGUGAUCUUCUUGUUCUCCUUUUAUAUGUCGAUGAUAUCAUCUUGACUGGGAAUAAUAGUGUCUUGAUUCAGCAGACCAUUACAGCUCUCAGUCGUGAAUUUGAUAUGAAGGAUCUCGACCAAUUAACCUAUUUUCUGGGACUCCAAGUUCAGUAUACUUCCACAGGCAUUCAUGUUAAUCAAUCCAAAUAUGCGACUGAUCUUCUUCUUAAAGCUGGUAUGACUCAAUGCAAGCCUUGUUCUACACCCUGUUUACCUACAGCAAAGUUACUCAAGUUUGAUGGCACCCCUCUCUCGGAUCCUACUCUCUAUAGAAGUCUAGUGGGAGGGCUUCAAUAUCUUACCUUCAGCAGGCCUGAUAUUGCUUUUGCCGUGAACACUCUUUGCCAGUUUAUGCAUACUCCUACAGAUACACAUUUUGCUGCGGUCAAACGUGUGCUGCGCUAUUUGGCUGGUACUCUGACUCAUGGCAUUCAUUUCACCUCUGGUGAUGUUCAUCUGCAAGCCUAUUCUGAUGCAGAUUGGGCAGGUGAUGUCAAUGAUCGUUGGUCCACGACAGGGUAUGUUGUCUUUCUCGGCAAUAAUCUUAUCUCUUGGUGUGCUAAGAAGCAAAACACUGUCUCUCGUUCCUCGACUGAAGCAGAAUACAGGGCUCUUUCAAUCACUUCCGCUGAGUUAUCCUGGCUUCGCCAACUUCUACGUGAUCUUCAUAUCUUUCUUGAUCGUCCCCCUAUUCUUUGGUGUGACAAUAUUUCGGCUUUAGCCCUUGCUAGCAAUCCUGUGUUUCAUGCACACACUAAGCACAUUGAGAUCGACUUCCACUUUAUCCAUGAGCGUGUUACUAGGGGAGAUAUGCUGGUUUCUCAUAUUCCUAGUAGUAAUCAACUGGCUGAUAUAUUCACUAAAGGGCUGCAUACUUCUCAGUUUUCUUAUCUUCGAAACAACCUAAUGCUUAGUCCCCCAAGCAUUAGCUUGAGGGGGGGAUGUUAGUCUACAACCCAAACCGCCAGAAUGAAUGUAACUCAUGCUGCAUGUGUCUGUUAGGAUGGUCGCGUGUCUGUUAGUUAGGAUGAGCUGGCUAAUGAGGUGGCUGGUUGUUAUUGUUGUUAAUCUGUUCUUAACUUAAUUCACUAGUUAGUUAGCUAGUAGAGAUAUAUAAGUCUAAUUGUAAAACUCUGUAAACAAGUAAGAUGAGAAAAUCAGUUUGAGAACUCUAUUCUGUUUUGCUUACUCUCUCCCUCUCUCUCUCUCUCUCUCUCUCUCUCUCUCUCUCUCUCUCUCUCUCUCUCUCUCUCUCUCUCUCUCUCUCAAUACUUCUAGUCUGAGAAGCUUGAUCUGGUUCAUCCAUGGCUUCCAUGAAGAAAGCUUUCAUAGUAGGACGAUUCCUUCCAUUCAAAUUCAAGCAUCUAACAGCAAGGUUAGCAACUGCUGUAAUCUUUUCCUUUCUACCAUCCUUCAUAACUUGAGAAUCAAGAAUAUCAAAUAGAAGAUUAUUCUCCAUGGAAAGCAGGAAAUAAGUUGCUAGACUUCUGCUUUCUUGUGACCUCAUCAAAGAAACUGGUUUUUGUCCAGUCAAGAGCUCAGCAAGGGCCACGCCAAAGCUAUAAACGUCACUCUUCUCUGUAAACUGGCUUGACCGGAAGUACUCCGGGUCCAGAUAACCAAACUUUCCAUAUACUAGUGUAGUAAGGUGCGUUUGAUCAAUGGAAACUGAUCUUGAAGUCCCAAAGUCAGCUACUUUUGCUCUGUACUUUUCAUCCAAUAGUAUAUUAGAAGACUUGAUGUCUCGGGGGUAAAUGGGAAAGGAAGCAGCUGAGUGUAAGUAGGAAAGAGCUCCUGCAACUUCAAUGGCAAUUCGUAAGAGCAUUUCCCAUGUAAGACAAAACUCCUCAUUUGGGUGAUGAAUAUACUGAGAAAGCGUUCCAUUGGGUAUGAAUUGAUAAACCAAAAGGGGGACUUCAGUCUCUAAACAACACCCCAAUAGUUUAACCACAUUUCUGUGAAUAAUUUGGGAAAGAAUGACAAUUUCAUUUAUAAAUUGUCCGACUUCUCCUCCAGCAACUAUUUUAGACUUCUUGACAGCAACAAUUCUUCCAUCUGACAACAUUCCCUUGUAAACAGUACUUUGACCUCCUUGACCAAGAAUUCUAUCUAUGCUGAACUUGUCUGUGGCUUUGUCUAAAUCCUUUGAACUGAACACCUUAAUUUUCUCAACAUUAACUUCACCAGAAGAUAAUUGCUUCUCCAACAAUAAACCUCCAUUUUGUUUUAAAAACUUUUGCUUGCGUUUGAUAUCCUUCCUCUUCUUUAUAACUUUGUGCGACCACCGAGCUCCAAUUAGUAGAAACAAGAGUCCAAUCACACCGCCAGCAACUGAGUAGCUCAAUAAGAUACAAAUAUUGAUAACGUGAUCAAGAAGAUUUUUGUGUGACAAAUGUCUAUGAUGUCAAAUUUUCCACCAAAGGGCCCAAAGUUUAAUUCAUUUUAGAGUUUGAAAGUGCAUUGGCAUACCUAAAAGGGCCACGGGAAUCCGUAGUCUCGGUGGCAUAUCCGUGGAGCAUAAAAGUGCCCUGGAAUAUUUGUACAACUGCCGUGACCACAUAUAUUGGGGUUUUCACAUUCGUUGAUAUCUGAAAUAUAUAAUGACAAGUGGAAAAUGGGGGAAAAAAAGAAGAAAAGAAGGGAUGGUUAAUUAUAAAUGGUACACAACACCGAAGAAUUUCUUCAGGUAUCUACAAAAUCAAUUAAGGAAAUCCAAUUGUACUCAUCGUUUACCUUCGUUGGUUGAAGAAUUUAAUUAAUACUAGAUGAUGUAAAGCGAGAACAAUUACAAACAAUAAAAAUUAGGGUGAUGUACAAAUCAGUACUGAAAAAAGGAGUUCUCAAAAUAAAAAGCAGAGACAGAAGCUAGAUAUAAUUAAUUACAUAUGCACCUUGACAAGUUUCAAGAAGAUAGGGAUUUCCUACAAAGCCUUUUCGGCAGUAACAAGAAAGCGUUGAGCGAUUGGUGUAAACCAAAGGGUAGAUAUUGCAGAAGGAUGCAACUGUAUAAUUAUAAUAAUUAUAAUCAUUAUAAUCAUCAGGAUCAAAAUUAUCUGUAACGUAGUUUCCAAAUAAUGCUCGUGAAGAAGUAGAGUUGAUUAUAUUCCAUUCUAGCACCACAGGAACGUGCAUUAUACUCUUGACAUCAUAAAUAUAAGAUGAUCUCUGAAACCAAUCCUUGUCAACCAGAAACGCAUAGUCGUCACAAUCAGCCUUUCGAGUUUCGCCUUUGUAUAGAAUGGAAGCGCCUAUCAUAAUUAGAUAUGGAGGAAUAGUAGUCUGGCAACAGUUGAUACCAAUAUCGCAGGAAGCAUUAUAGCUUCCAUAAUCACAAACUGACCUGCACCCACCGACCACAAACUCAGCUGAUUCCAUCAUGGCAAGGAAGCCACAACUAACUGCAGUGAAUCUGUUUUUGUCCUGAGAGUAGACGAAAGGGCUGCCCAUCAAAUUAGCCAUUUCGCUACUUCCAUUUCCGUUGCAGAAGAAGGUAACAGGGCUGUUCACCCGAAGCGUGCCUUCAAUAGAAAUACUCAGCACCUCCAGUUGGGCUCGCUUCAAAACAGGCUUGUGAGCAGAGCUGGUAGUUUUAGAAGACUGGUUGCUGCACUCGAUUUCAAACCAGUCGUCUAAGUAGCAAUCUUUGUGUCCAAUUCCAAAAGGGUAGGGGAUCAAGACGCCUCCACAUUUCUCUUUGCAGAACGGCUUUGCGUUCGGAUAAUAAACUUCUUGUGCUGCAGCUGCUGCACAUGCAUAUAUAAUCAACAACACGAGGACUAUUAAUAAUAAAAUCAUCAUAUGAACUGCUUGCGAUUGCAUUGUUCCUAUGCUCGGAUAAUAAAAAGUAAAAGAUUAUCAAGCAAAAGUUUUCUUUUCAACUUAGUGCUUGUACUAUAUAUAAUAAAGACCCCUGCUCGAUCGAAGAAAAGUGGGUUCGCAUUGAAGGCUACUUUUCUUUUUGUAAUGUGAGUGGAAGUUGUAUAUGAUUAGUAGUUGAGUAUUCAAGUGGAAAUUGUAUAUGACAUAUUGUACUCACAUUCUAACCUUCUGGAUUGGAAGUUGUAACUGCACUCACAUUCAGACUGGAAAAGUUCAGAAAAAGAGCAAAACGUAAUAUUUAUGGAACAUGCAUUAAAAUAUGAGUGAAUUAUGGUGUGAAAAAUUAAUUAAAAUAAAGUGGCUCAAAGUUGGAAGGAAAUCAUGCAAGAGAUUAAAAUUCCAAUUAAAUAUCAAUUAUGGCGCUAGGAAAAGAAUGAAGGCGUAUCGUUGGGAUUUUGAAGAAUAAGUUAGCUACUAGGAUAUUAUUUCCCUAAUAUGAUUUUUAUUAUAUUCUUAUUAGCUAAGUUUAGGAAUAUUCUAGAACCUAGGGUUUCUUUGUUUUCUAUUUAAGCCAACUUGUGGCAUUGUAUUUGUGAGUUUAUUCACUUAUUUUCAAUCAAUAUAUUUGAGGUUUACUCAAUUUCUCUGGUGGAUUCCAGUUUGUUGGUGGAUUCCGACAUUGGUAUUUGUAGGGUUAACGGUCGAUCUCCCUAUCCCUUAUAUCUCGCUACGUCAGUUGGUAUCAAAGUAGGUUUUGCCUGACUCGAGGUGUCUCCAAUGGCUCAUCCAGAUGAAGAAGAUAGGACCUGUGGAGAUGGGGAACCAAUCACUCUAAAAGAAUUUGAUGGUGCAAGUGUUCCAUACUUCAUGGGGAGUGACUGCAUCGAAGGCUUUCUCCAAUGAGUUGGAGACGUAGAGGAAAUAUUUGAUUCAAUAGCGAUCCCAGAGGAGAAGAUGGUAAAAGUUCUUGCGUCCCGUUUAGAAGACGAUGUUGCUUCUUGGUGGGAUCAAUUGUGAAAAUCUAGGAAGCAACAAGGUAAAAAUCCUAUCAGUGCUUGGCGUUGGAUGAAGAGACUUCUUGUGAAAAAAUUCUUUCCUUUUGAAUAUGAUAUAUAUUUGUUAAGGAAUGGUUACAAGAUUGCUCAACCCAAUAUCAUGGUGAGUUAAGAAAAGAUGGAGGAAGAUCUCGAAGAGGAAGAUCUCGAAAAGGAAGAUCCAAUAAUCCACAAGAUGGAGAGAUUCAAGAAAAACAAGAUAUUGAGCCUAUUGAAACUCAUGUUGUUGUUGAAAUAGAUAUUUCAAAAGAUGAAGAACAACAAUUGGAUUCCUCUGAAAUUCGAGGUAUGGAUAAAUCCAAAUUUGGAGAGGAAAAUAAUUCAUACAAGAAGUUUGAUUCUCAACUGGCAUAUUCUAAUCUUGUUUAUAGAAUUAAUUAUAUGAUUAUUCCAUCCAAAUAUGAGCAAGUCCAAACACCACAAAUUGAAGAGCUUAUCUACACAACAAAUUCUAUGUCUACUCAGGUUCAUUCUAACGAGAACUCGAGGUCGAGUUCUUUACAAGUGAAGGGUCUGAUGUAGGACGAAAUAUGGUUCUAUUAUGGUGUGAAAAAUUCAUUAAAAUAAAGUGGCUCAAAGUUGGAAGGAAAUCGUGCAAGAGAGGAAAAUUCCAAUUAAAUGUCAAUUAUGGCGCUAGGAAAAAAAGGAAGGCGUAUCGUUUGGAUUUUCUAAUUGAUUGAGGAAGUUUGAAGCAAUUAUGAUCCUGUCAAGAUUUAUAUUUAAUUUUAUAUUUUGAAGAAUAAGUUAUCUAUUAGGAUAUCACAGUCCCAAUCUCUUGGACUACAGGGGUCCAAGAGAUUUGUGGUCACUCACCGUUGGAUGUAAAUUCAACGGUUUAUUCACUCUUGCACUCCUUUUAGGAAACUUUUUUGAACCGUUGAAUGUUACAUCCAACGGUAGGUGAUCAUAAUCUCUUGGACCCCUGUGGUCCAAGAGAUCGGGACUGUAGGAUAUCAUUUCCCUAUUAUGAUUUUUUUUUUAUUAGCUAAGAGAACCUAAGGUUUCUUACAGUUUUAGGGUUUCUUUGUUUUCUAUUUAAGCCAACUCAUGGCAUUGUAUUUGUGAGUUUAUUCAUCUUAUUUUCAAUCAAUAUAUUUGAGAUUUACUCAAUUUCUCUGGUGGAUUCCAGUUUGUUGGUUGAUUCCGACAUUAUUACUUGUAGGGUUAUCGUUCGAUCUCCCUAUUCCUUAUAUCUCACUGUGUCACUUUUCAACUUGACUUGAAAGGUAAGAGCGGAACUUUUUCAUUUGUUCGAAUUGAAGGCUCCUUUUCUUUUUGUAAUGCGCGUGGAAGUUGUAUAUGACUAGUAGUUGAGAAUAUUCAAGUGUUUCCUUCUCUUCCUAUCUAUCCCAAAAAAAAAAGUAAAAAAAAAGUUGACUUGACUUCAGUCACUCACAAAAGGAAAUGCAGUACAUACUGAGUCAAUUAUUAUGGCCAUAAAGAAAUUAAAAAUGAAAAGUAUUCUUUAAUUGUUUUUUCUUCUUAUUUUGUCGUUUUCAAGUACAUAAAAAUGUUGUGAAAUCAAGUCAAUGAUUACAUAGAGCUCAGCAAACGUAACAUUAACUAACUAAACAAUAAUAUCUUGAAGGGUCAUGCAACACAAGAGAAACAGAUUUUUAUUUGGUUUUAUUUUCACUGUAUAACCUGUUGGACGUUUGCAAACAAAAGGUUCCACAUAAAAUAAAAUAUUUUAUUUUAUUUUAUUUUUUAAAUUUCUUUUAGGAGAAGUUAAAUUCAAACCAAAAGUCUUAUCUUUUUGUUUGAAUUUGAAUAGGCAUAGCUGAUACUAAUUGCUAUUUUGAAGGGUUGCAAUUGUGUUAUAAAACCACAAGUCCUAACCCAUAAUACGAUUAUCUUUUUCAAACUAUCUCAUACUGCUUUAAAAAUUACAUACUGUAUUGGAGAGAGAAUUCAAGGAUUUGAUGCCAGACCUUGAGUUAUAGAUAGUUGAAUCCUAAGAGAUAAUACGCCUGUUGAACUUCAAGCAUUGAGGAUAGGCGAAAUUCUGUCUUUAGGACAUUGAGAAUCUGCAAAUCUCUAUCUUCAAUAAAAGUAUUUUGUAAUCGUGUAUUAAUAUAGUGAUCCUAUAAUAUAAGAUCUUUAUUUAUUUUUCCUGACAUAACCAACACAAGCAAAGCCAGAAAAUAGGUUCCACAAGGUGAUAGUCUAAAAUCUUCUAACGUCUCGUCUAAAGAUUUUCUCGAGUGAUCUAGUCAUAAUUAAUUUUUAUAUAUAUCCGGUGAUUUGUGUUUAUGGCAAUCAUUCAGUUUAGCUAAUCGGCCACUCUGAUCUUCUUGGUUGAAACUGCAGCCAUCACAGUGAGAUAAGGAGGAACGGAAGUCUGACAGCAGCUGAUACCAAUAUCGCAGGAAGCAGAGUUUUGAUGAUCACAAACUUACCUGCAGCCACCAACCACAAACUCUGCUUCCAUCCCGGCAAGGAAGCCGCAGCUAACUGCAGUGAAUCUGUUUUUUUCUAGAGAGUAAACGAAAGGGCUCCCCGUCAAAUCCACCAUUUUGCUACUUCCAUUAUUUCCGUUGCAGAAGAAGGUAACGGGGCUGUUCACCUGAAGCGUGCCUCCAAUAGCCUGAUGCAGGCCUCCAGUAGAAAUAUUCAGCACCUCCAGUUGGGCUCGCUUCAAAACAGGCUUGUAAUGAGGAGCAGAGCUGGUAGUUUUAGAAGACUGGUUGCUGCACUCGAUUUCAAACCAGUCGUCUAAGUAAAGAGAAUAUCACUCCGGUUCAUCCCAGGAAAUCAGUUGAUUUCCCCAAAUCAGACUUGACAGAUUCUUCCUCCCAAGAUCAACGACAUAUUAGCUAGAAUUGAUUCAUAACAUAUAUGAGAUUAUUGUACUUACCAUGUAUUGCUUAUUUCUGUAAAUAGACUUGAGAAAGUCUACUCUCUGUACAUUAUAUACGGCUGCAAUACAGAGACCAAAUACACUGGUUGAUUCAAUUACUCUCCUCCUCUAUCUCUCAUCUCUCUUCUCCCCCCUGAACUCUGUUUCUUAUAUGGUAUCAGAGCUCUUCGGAGCCAAAGCUCACGUUUUUCGAUCCUACCCAAUCAAAUGGCAAACACACCCAAGUCUGGAGAAUCAAGUCAUAUUGAUAUGACAAAACUGAUUUCUGAAAUGUCAAAGCUUGCCUCACCCUCAUUCUCAUUCCCAUCCUUGCCCACCUCUUUCAACAUCUCAUCUCUGUUCCCAAUUCCCAUGGACAGAACCAACUAUUUGAGUUGGAAAUCACAAUUUGAAGACGUAUUGGAGAUGCAUGGCCUUGCAGAGGUCAUCAAGAAAACCACAGACCCACCCAAAGUGCAAGAAGAUGGCUUUGUGCAUCCUGAGUUCGCCAGAGACAAACUGGUCUUGAGUUGGAUCAAGGCGACUUCCUCCUCUUCCAUAAAGAUUCUACUCAUCCCGUGUACCACCGCCUAUCAGGCUUGGAAUCUUCUGGGCAAGCGCCUCUCACCCCUUGCAGGUACCCGUGUGCGAAUCCUUGGAGACCAAAUUCGCACCCUCAGGAAGGACAACACCACAACUGUGACUGACUACCUCAACCAUGCCAAAUCACUUCUUGAUUCCCUCAUACAAGCUGGUGCAACAAUGGAUGAUGAUGAAUUCGUUAGCUAUGUUCUAGACGGACUUGGGCUUGAAUACAAGGAGUUAGCCACCACACUCCACUUGCACCCAGAUAUUGGUUUUGACCAGUUUUAUGAUCUCGCUCUCAGAGAGGAACAAUUACAGAAACGCAUGUCGCUCAACGUGGCCUCAAGUGUUGCUAUGGCUGCUGAUCGAAUGCCCAAUGAGCGAAAACCUCAUUCAAACUCCGCUGGUCGCCAUCACAACCCCUAUCACGGAUCUGGACGAGGACGUGGACGUGGCAGAAAUUGGAUUCAAGGGCACAAUGGGCAAACAGAUCCGUGGAAAUCAACCCAAGGAAAUUGGCCACAAGGACACAACACUCAGCCUCGUGACCCGCAGAUUGCACCAUCUGCCCCUUCUCACGCAACUCUUACAGAUGGCCGACCACCACUCCUUCCAACACCACCUGGAAAUUCUCCAAAUACCCAGCGCUCAGAAGUCAUUUGUUAUCGGUGUGAUAGGCCUAGUCACAUAGCCCGCUUCUGUCCAGAUCGUAAGCCUCAUGCCUACGUGGCUGAAAAUGCUAUCAACCCGUCUCCUUCUACUGAUGAUAUAGCAAACCUCAAUUGGUGUCUUGACUCCGGUGCUACCCAUCACAUGACCGCCCACACCGCUUCUCUACCGCAUGCCCAGCCUUACACAGGUACUGAUACAAUUAUUGUUGGCAAUGGGAACCAGUUAGCAAUAACACAUAUUGGCAAUACUAAAGUGACCGGGUUACAUAAGUCCUUAAACCUUAAUGAAGUGCUAUGCGUACCUGCAAUACGAAAGAAUUUGAUAUCUAUUCGUUGUCUUUGUCGUGAUAAUGAUUGUUUCUUUGAGUUGGAUGCUAAUGGUUUUCAUGUCAAGGACAUCAAGGCGGGGACGAUACUUCUUACUGGCAGUAGUUCUGAUGGGCUUUAUCACAUUCAGGCAACCCCACAUCUUGCUCGUCAACUUGCAUUCUAUGGAGAGCGCACGACACAGGAAGUGUGGCAUGCACGCCUUGGACAUCCAUCUCAUUCAGUUUUUACAACCUUGUUGAAUAAGUACCAUUUACCCGUUAAUGGUACCAUUAUCUCCAAUAAAAAUUGUCAUAUUUGCCCAUUGGGAAAAUCUUGUAGACUGCCUUUUGAAUACAGACAGCUUCAUGCUCAAUCCUCAUUAGCACUUUUACAUCUUGAUGUAUGGGGGCCCGCGCCAGUCCCCUCAAAUUUUGGAUACCAUUAUUAUUUGUCCAUUGUUGAUGACCACACUCGGUUCACUUGGUUAUAUCCUUUGGCUAAGAAGUCCGAUGUCUUUCCUACAUUUAUUACCUUCAAAAAGAUGGUGGAAAAUCGGUUUAGUUCUCAAAUCAAGCAGUUGCAGGUUGAUGGUGGGGGUGAAUUUAUCAACAAAUUAUUCCUCGCAUUUUUACGUGAUCAUGGCAUAUCGCAUCAAAUUUCUUGUCCCUACACUCCCCAACAAAAUGGAGUGGUGGAAAGGAAACAUCGCCAUAUUGUUGCAAUGAGUCUUUGUCUGCUAGCCCAAUCGCGAUUGCCUCUUAGUUUUUGGAUUGAAGCCUUCUCCACUGCAGUUUUUCUGAUCAAUCGCUUACCAACACCGCAGCUUGAUAAUCUGUCUCCCUAUGAGAAGCUCCUUCACCGUUCACCAGACUACAAAUUUCUCAAAAGCUUUGGAUGUGCUUGCUUUCCCCACCUGGUGCCAUACAACAAGCAUAAGUUAUCUUUUAAAUCUCUUCCAUGUGUAUUUCUUGGUUAUGAUGAUCACUAUAAGGGUUAUCGCUGUCUUGAUCCUUUUUCAGGUCGCAUCUAUACGUCUCGGAAUGUGACCUUUGAUGAAACAACCUUCCCUUACAAGCAGCCCCAGCUUCCAUCUCCUUUGCCCUCAAAUGGGAUUCAACCUCUUGCCGACCAGCCCAUAUCUCUUGGGCCCUCUAAUCCUCUGGUCAGCCCUUCUCCCUCAUAUCCCUCAUCUCUUAAUCCCACAGGCCCAUCACUUCCCCCUAUUUCUUCUGACCCUAUUAGCUCCCCCCAUUCCUUCGACACCCCCUUGUUCUCCCCUCUGUCCUCCUCUGUAUCCCCAACAACACUGACCACGAACCCAGCCGAUCCUUCUCUGGUAUCAAACAUCCCCCAUUCGCCGCCUCUUUCCACUGAAACCUCGCCGCCUCUUUCCACAGAACCCUCGCUGCCCAUUUCCACAGAAACCUCGCCGCGCCUUUCCACAGACCCAUCGCCCUCACUUUCCCCAGACCUAUCCUUCGACUCUGACGGAACAACCCCACCCCUUACCCCACCUCCCCCUUCUUCACCUCUUGAUCCAUCGAUUUUCCCUAACUCUCCAGAUACACCCAAUCCUCCACAAAAAUUCAAGAGUCUCCAAACCAUUGUCCCAUUUGGCCCAGAACCCAAACCCCUCUACUCUAAAACCAGCCCUCAUCCCUUACCCCUUGCCCUUUCUGCUGAAGCUUCUGAUCCCCUAUCCCUUGAACCUACCAGCUUUACCCAUGCUUCCAAACACAGCCACUGGCUCGAUGCUAUGCACGAUGAAUAUGCUGCACUCAUGAAGAACCAGACCUGGUCCUUAGUUCCUGCCACCUCCCGCAUGAAUAUUGUGGGGUGCAAGUGGGUCUUCAAAAUUAAACGGAGGGCAGAUGGCUCAAUUGACAGAUACAAGGCUCGUCUUGUUGCCAAGGGAUUCAAUCAGAAGGAAGGCUUUGAUUAUGCGGAAACUUUUAGCCCGGUGGUCAAACCGGCUACCAUUCGCACUAUAUUGUCUCUGGCACUUUCCUACCAUUGGCCUCUUCAACAAUUGGAUGUUCGUAAUGCCUUCUUGAAUGGGUACUUGCAAGAGGAGGUCUACAUGAAACAACCCCCUGGUUUUCAUGAUCCCUCUCACCCUCAGUAUGUUUGUCGGCUCCACAAGGCUCUGUACGGCCUUAAGCAGGCACCUCGAGCUUGGUUCCAACGUCUUAGUGCCUUUCUCCUUGCCCAGCACUUUGUUCACAGUCACUCUGAUGUAUCGCUCUUUAUUCGUCGCUCCUCUUCCUGCACAGUGUAUGUUCUAGUGUAUGUGGAUGACAUCAUUGUUACUGGCUCUCCCUCACCAAGUGUAAACCACUUCAUUGAUCAACUAUGUUCAACUUUUGACAGCCGCCGUAUGGGUGAGCUAAACUUCUUCCUUGGCAUGGAAAUUAAUCGGUUUUCUGACCAUUUAUUUCUCUCUCAGACUCGCUAUGCAGUGGAUUUAUUGACCCGGUUUCAUUUGACUGAAUGCAAACCAUCUCCUACCCCUUUGCCCUCUGACACUCGGCUCUCUUGUCUGGAUGGUGAUCCCUUGCCUGAUCCAUCCACCUAUCGGAGUAUGGUGGGUGGCCUCCAGUAUCUUACCUUGUCCAGACCUGAUAUUUCCUUCGCUGUCAACCAGGUGUGCCAGUUUAUGCACAACCCUCGAACCUCUCAUCUUCAGGUUGUCAAGCGCAUUUUUCGGUACAUUAAAGGCACACUUGAGCAAGGUCUUAUCUUCCAUAAGUCCACUGAUUUUUCCUUACGGAGUUUCUCUGACGCUGAUUGGGCUGGUUCUGUUGAUGAUCGCCGGUCUACUACUGGUGCUUGUGUUUUCCUUGGCCCCAAUCUUCUCACAUGGACUGCCAAGAAACAGUCUACUAUUUCUCGCUCUAGUACUGAAGCUGAAUAUAGAGCUCUUGCACAUACUGCAGCCGAACUUCGCUGGUUUUGUUACUUGUUUCGUGAACUGGGCAUUCCCCUUCGCUCUGCCCCCUGCAUCUAUGUUGACAAUCUCUCUGCUCUCUAUAUGGCUGCCAACCCUAUUUUUCAUGCUCGCACCCGGCAUAUCGAGAUCGACUACCACUUUGUUCGUGAAUUAGUUGCUCGAAAUGCUCUUCGUACCUCCUAUGUUCCUUCCUCUGAUCAGCUUGCUGACAUAUUUACUAAAGGUCUCGGUCGUGAUCGGUUUUCACUUCUAAAAUCCAAGCUUAAUCUCCGCGUUGCUCCGCUACGCUUGAGGGAGGGUAAAGAGAAUAUCACUCCGGUUCAUCCCAGGAAAUCAGUUGAUUUCCCCAAAUCAGACUUGACAGAUUCUUCCUCCCAAGAUCAACGACAUAUUAGCUAGAAUUGAUUCAUAACAUAUAUGAGAUUAUUGUACUUACCAUGUAUUGCUUAUUUCUGUAAAUAGACUUGAGAAAGUCUACUCUCUGUACAUUAUAUACGGCUGCAAUACAGAGACCAAAUACACUGGUUGAUUCAAUUACUCUCCUCCUCUAUCUCUCAUCUCUCUUCUCCCCCCUGAACUCUGUUUCUUAUAAGUAGCAAUCUGUGUGUCCAAUUCCAAAAGGGUAGCGGAUCAAGACGCCUCCGCAUUUCUCUUUGCAGGCCGGGGCUUACUUUCGGAUAAUAAACUUCUUGUGCUGCAGCUGCUGCACAUGUAUAUAAGAUCAACAACACGAGGAAUAUUAAUAACGAAAUCAACAUAUGAACUGCUUGCGAUUGCAUUGUUCCUAUGCUCGGAUAAUAAAAAGUAAGAAAUUAUCAAGCAAAAGUUUUCUUUGCAACUUAAUGCUAACGUCUCGUCUAAAGAUUUUCUCGAGUGAUCUAAUCAUAAUUAAUGUUUAUAUAUCCGGUGAUUAUUGGGGGUAGAUUUUGGAAUGGAGUGGCUGCCUGCAUUUUGGGCAGCUGCUGGGCAGUGAUCCAUGACUUUUAUGAGUGAAGUCCAGCCCAUGACCUUUUUUUUAAAGAAUAAACAGAGCAAGUUACUAUUUGCUUUCAUGUGGCAAGCAAAAGCAUUUUACUUUCUUUCGAAACGAUGUCAUUAAUUCAUCACACAAACUAUCUUUUGUUUUUUAAAGCAUUUACAAUCAUACUCUUUAUUUUUUAUUUAAAAUUUAGCUAAAACAUAAAAAGCGGUAAGUUUUCUUUCGCGACUAUACGUUUCGUCGCGCAAGUUUUUGGCGCCAAUAAAAAUAACCCCGAGUUUUUCCAGCUAACUUUACGCAACGAUAACCAGUACUGUCGCGCUAAGUAAUCAUAAGCGACGAUAUGUGUCGUCGCGCAAGUUUAGCAAUAGUCUGUGCUACACAUGCAUUUUUUGGUCGCGCAAGGAUUUCUUGUGCGACGAAAAUUAUUUGUCACACAAAAUAUCGUUGCGCAAAGGGUAAAACGUAGUAGUGGUACUCACAUUCUGACCGGAAAAGUUCAGAAAAGGAGCAACACAUAACAUAUAUGGAACAUGCAUUACAAUAUUACAAUUAAUGUUCACCAUGACUUGUAAGGUAAUAGCGGAAUUUCAUGUAAUGAUGAAGAAGGACCACCAUCCAAAACUGGGCCUGUUCCCGUUGAACUUGAAGCAACAUCCCAAGGCUCAAUUGAGCCAGUCCUAACAUAUUCAACCUCUUCAUAGUUUUGUCCACCAUUAGAAGUUUUUUUUCUGACAUUUGAAUCCCCUCCAGCUUUGCCGUGACCUCUCUCAUUGUAGGGCGCUUUCUUCCACUCAAAUUCAAACAUCUUCUUGCAAGGUUAGCAACUAAUAUGAUAUCCGCUUUAGACCCUUCUUUUACAACUUCAGCAUCAAGAAUUUCGAACAGGCGAUCUAACUGCAUCGAAGUAAUGAAGUAUGUGGCAAGACUUUUGC